AAAAAGUAGACAUGUGUUAGAAAAAAAGAAACCAAUGAUACAAAAAAUCAAAGAAAAAUGGAGAACUAAUAAAACCCAAAAAAGAAAAAGGAAAAAAAUUGAAGAAAACCAAUGCAAAAGAAUGAAUACAGUCAAACUCGAGAAGGAAACAAAGAAAAAUGAAGAAAACCGGUUGUAGAUGCUCUUAGUGCUCUGACGCGAAAUAUUGCCACUGGCACAGGAAAAAUUCUGCACUACCAAAUUGUCUUUCUUUAGAUAAAAUGUGGAUUUUAUUAGCUCAAGAUGAAGCAUCAAAGUAAUACAAACUUAAUGAGCAAACAAUCGGGCUCUGCAUGACUAGAAUGCAUACAAUCAAUACUAUAACAAACACAUGCACAUAUAUGAAGAAUCACACCAGCAAAGAGCAAAGUCCUACAUGACACCAUCUCUGCUUUAGCGGAGGAAAAGAAAAAUGAAAAAGAAAACUCUAAAGCGAUCAAAACAAUGAUCGACGACAUGAUUGCUGACGAUUCAUUUGCUCAGAGUAUUAUAUAAUUCGUCAAGCGGUCAAUUGUUAUUCGAUAGUCAUAUGAUACCUCAUAUGCCGUAUCGUUAGAACUUCUUUAGGAUCAGCGUAUGUACAGAAUCAUUUCAUGUUCAUCCGGAAAAAGAAUAAAAAUCAAUUGAAUUUAAUACUGUCACAACAAUCACGGGUCAUCUUUAUAGUAGGAACUGAGACCAAACAACCAGCUGUGAAGUGGUUAGUCAUGCCACGAGGUCAACUAGAGACUUGUUAAGAGCAUCUACAAUCACAUAUGGCAAAUCUGGCGCGUCCGCGAACAGUGACCGGGCACACCUUAAAUUUUACUUGUUGCAUCCGCACAUCUCAUACCCGAUUUUUAUAUCCAUACAAAGACACGCAAAAGGAUAUAGAACCUACGUACUACGUCGAUCCUAGCUACUCCUCGUCGGAGAUCAAUCUCCGUGCCCAGCUCCAGUAGCAUGGGCGGCAGCUGCAGCUCCGGCUGCUCCGCUCUGGCCUCCUCCGCCUCUAUCUUCACGUCGAGCUCGGCGAAGAGUGCGUCGGACUCCGCCUGCCCUGGCCUGAGGAACGCUCGAUUGGCCUCCACAUAGGCCUCAUCCUGGAUGAACUCAAUUAUGGCCUACUCCUCGGUCAUCUCGUCGGACUGGGCGACGGCGAACUCCGCCUCCGCCUGCUCCAUGUUGAAGGGCGGCACCUGCUGGUCCUGCUCCUCCACCUCCAUCGGAGCCAUCUCCUCCUCCUCUUCCCCCGGCUGCUCCUCCUCCUCCUCCAGCUCCGGUGAGUCCGAAGGCAGCCCGACAGCGAUGCGGGCGGCGCGCGCGGCUUCCCUCGCCUGGAUCUGCUGCUGGAUCUCAUAGCGGCGCUCCGGCGUCAGCAUGGCAUAGUAGAUGAUCUUGCUCCGAACCAUGGUGAAGUGCCGGAGCAUGGGCAGAGCGCCGGAGCGGAAGAGGAAGGAGGUGGAUGUGUUUCCGGGCGUUUCUGUGUGGGGCCCCUUUGUCAGUCCGACGUGGCGGACUUGCCCAGGUGCGCCCGCAUGCCCCAUAUCCGCCCCAUACUUGGGCUGGAUAUGGGGGUGCCGGUCAGUCCGGUUGUUUGAGGGCCGUUUGAGAGGCCCGUCUGGGUAAAAAAUCGGGACCGGGUAGUGACCGGGCGGCUCACCGGGGUGUAUGAGGCGGGUUUGAUAGGUCCGGUUGUAGUUACUUUAACAGACAUGAUUGAAGGCUCGUCACUCAGUCUAUUGUUGUUGGGUUAAGUCCAGCCAUGCAUGGUUCCACUUGUGUACUUAAAAAUAAGCAAGCGUGGUUAGUGGCUCCGAAGAUAUCUUGGCAUGAUAUCGUAAGUCCAGCGAACAGCGGCUGGAUUUAUACGCAGUGUAUAUGUGAACCGAAGACUUGACUUUCACUGGCACACGCGUGGUAUGCACGUAGGUAGAUUAAAUAACUGCACCGGGGAUAGCGAUUUAUACUUACCAGCGAAGACGGACGGCACCAGCCCGGCAACGUGCAGCGACGACGUGAACGGCCGUGACCGUGAGAGCCAGCUGCUUGCCGUCGAGGCAGUACCAAGUGGAACAAGAACCGCUCUCAGUCUUAAAAUACAAGUUCUAAAAACAACUCGGAAAAAGAGUCAAUUACACCAGUGGUGCAGCUGUGGUGCCAGAAUUUGGCAUGAAUGAUCAUUUCAGUGCUACAAGUUGUGGUGUACAUUGAAAUGAUGCAAAAAUUUAACUUUGCUGCAUAAAUAUGGUGCAAAACUUGUUUUUUUUAAAUCCUUUACGCUUUUUUUAAAUCCUUAACGCUGACAAGACGUGCCAGCAGGCAUGGAGCCCGCUGUUAGUGAUGAGACGGUGGGGACAGCGUUUGGGGCCUGCUCUUUUUGCGAAAAGAAAACUUGCACUAAAAUAACCCUGGUAGGUUAGAAACAACACAAAUCGCAUUAAGGGCCAGUUCUUUUCGGCGGCUUAAAAAAUAAGCUGCCUCUCCCCAGCUUUUUCCAUAAGCCACCUCCUAUAUUCGUUGGGGCUUCUAAACUAGUCAUGGGAUAAAUAUUCUAGAAGUCUCAAAAAAAUUUAGAGGCGGCUUAUUUUUUAAGCUAGGGAGAGGCAGCUUAUUUUUUAAGCCGCCCAAAAGAACUGGCCCUAAGAGGGAAAACUGUCCAACAUUUCGGAGCGCACCUUACUGGAACAACCGACGACAUUUGUUGUUGAAGUGGGAUCAGGAAGUUAUAUAUUCUUUAAAUUAACAGCGUAAAGUAAAUUUUUUGAACACAAAUGAAAAGGGCGCAACCCAAUUGGCGAUUAACCACCAGGCUUGAUGACAUUUAGUGCUCUAUACGAAAAUAAAUAUUUUCCAUACAAGUUUGGUGAAACAGCAUAAAUGAUAACUCUAAACUUGAAUGAAAAGGUCCAGCAAUCAAACCAGUGAUCUCCUAUCCCGAUACUGCAAACCAACCGCCGGCGAAGAUCAACUCUGUACUUCGAUACAUCCAUAAUAUAAGUAAGAGCAGGACGUAGGACUUUACCUUCAUAGUGAGGGUCUGAACCUGGGUAAAUGCGAUGUGUUCUUUCUCUUGUUACCCAUCGAUCCAAUCUAACAACUCGGCCCCCCUACCCGAGGUCUUCCGGUUUUGACACCGACAAAAGUUGAUCUUGGAUUUCUUCANNNNNNNNNNNNNNNNNNNNNNNNNNNNNNNNNNNNNNNNNNNNNNNNNNNNNNNNNNNNNNNNNNNNNNNNNNNNNNNNNNNNNNNNNNNNNNNNNNNNNNNNNNNNNNNNNNNNNNNNNNNNNNNNNNNNNNNNNNNNNNNNNNNNNNNNNNNNNNNNNNNNNNNNNNNNNNNNNNNNNNNNNNNNNNNNNNNNNNNNNNNNNNNNNNNNNNNNNNNNNNNNNNNNNNNNNNNNNNNGCUAAGCAUGGGAGGCUUUGGUCUCUUUGGGCUCGAGGUAGGGGAUAGCAAAGCAUCUGCAUUCUUCCCUCACCCGGUGGUUAUUGUCUGGAUCAACCAAGGACAUGUUAGAGAGGAGGGCACUAUUGAGAGAACCUGUGCCAAGGUCAGGGUCAGUUACCCCAAGGACAGGCGAUGUGGAGUUUCUAUUCCAUGAAGAGGUCAUCUCAGAGAUUGAAUCUUUCUUCCGAGAUGCUUCUCCUUGUGUAGGAUCCUCCUUUUUUUAAGCACUAGGAUUAACCGCCACACCUUCUUAAUAUCAGAUCAAAUUGCAUUAUUAAAUAUGUGUGCAUUUCUAGUUUUCCAGGUACACCCUAAGAUGCAAGCACAUGUAAAAUUAGGCACGCGUAGUUGUUGUUAGCGGGCCAAAAUCUGGCAACAGAAGGAAAAUCAUAUCCUAAAGUAAUUCCAAAAAUAAGCUAGACAACUAUUUCCAAAUACUUUUAGAAACUGCACAAUCAAAGAGCAGAUGAGAAACGAUUUCUUGCUCAUUGCAAAGUACACAAUCCGAAUGUAUAUUCAAGUUUCUUCUCUACAAAUUUUUGUCUAGUCAUAGGUUUGGUAAGAGAUAGAAGCCACAAAAAGACUUGGACCCUGCGAGGAACUAAAGUAGACCAAACAGAGGGAAUGCCCCGCCUCCCCCUCUAGAGUCAUACUGCCAUAAAAUGCAUCGUUGUUAUUACUAAAAGAGAUAGACCGGAGAAUUUGCUCCAAGUUGUAUCAGGAUUCUAUCAGGGAAUAAGAAGAAAAAUCCUUCUAAAAGUUAGUCGCAAUAAUGGAAAAACUUAUAUGUGAUCACAAUAAUGAUGGCACACAAUGGAACAUCACAAUAAACCUUUAUCGUGGAACAUUAAAAACCUUCUAAUGGGACAUCACAAUCAUGAUGUAAGACAACGAAGCGAUUGUAAAAUAUGACUGUGUGUCAUCGACGAUAAAAAACAAUCAUUUCAGCUCAUUAUGAGCUCAUAUUUUUGGUUCGAGUCAAUUACGAUUGGUUGACCAACAAAUACUCAUGUUGAAGAUAUUCCGGUGAUCAGCACGUUUCAUUAGAAAGAUUUCACUACACAAGAACAUGUAUACAUAUAUACAUCGACAAUUAAUAACAUACCCAUUAUCCAAGCUGUCAAAAGAAAAGGAAAGACAUUUAGCAUCUAUGAGGGCAUCAGCAGUGUAUAGAGGCUGGGCUGCAUCUAUGCUGGGUCCCACCUUCAGCCUCUAAGGUUGUCGUUGAACGGACAAACGAACACGUAGCUCAUGUUGAUGCAGACGGAGAUGAAGGUGGUUUGCGCCGGCCGUGGCCGUGGCCGUCGCCGACGAACCUCUUCCAGUACCAGUGGCGGUCCCAGACGGAGCCCAUGGACUCGAGGGGGACGCCCUUGGUCUCCGGGAGGAAGACCAAGACGAAGGCCGUGAGGGCCACGACCCAGGCCGCGUAGUAUGCGAACGUGGCGUACUUGAGGCGGCAGAGCAGGGCGAGGAAGGUCUGCGUCUGCAGGAAGGUGAGCCCGAGCGUGGUGGAGACGCUCACCGACUGCCCCGCCGACCGUAUCUCCAUCGGGAAGAUCUCGCCGGGGAUGAUCCAGAUGAGCGGCGCCCACGACAUGCCGAACCCGGCGCCCUGCACGCAGGUGAGCGCCAGCAGCGCCACCCCGUAGGCCCGCGGUAUCGGGCCGUCGGCGGCUUUCGCUCCCAUGAUCCACGCGUUCGCGACCUGGCAGAGGACCAUGAUCACCGCGCCCACCACGACGAGCACCUUGCGGCCGUAGCGGUCGAUCACCAGCGUGGAGAGGAUGAGCGAGCCGAACUUGACGGCGGCGAGGAUGACCGCGCCCAUCAGCGCCGCGUUGCUCCCGAAGCCGGCGAUGCGGAACACCAGCGGCGAGAAGAAGGUCAGCACCAUCAUGCCGCUGAGCUGGUGGCAGAACGGCACCACGACGGAAAAGGUCAGGUGCGGGCGGUACUGCCGGUCGGCGAGGAGCUUCCGGAACGCGCCUUCCUCGCUGCUGCGCGCGGCCUCCACGGCGCGCGUGAUGUCCUUGAGCUCGGCGUCCACGUUCGCGCUGGCGCCGCGCACCCGGAGGAGCGCCGACCGGGCGAGGUCUGCCUUCCCGCGCAUGAUGAAGCUGCUGGGCGUGUCGGUGAGGAAGAGAGCGCCGACGAAGAUGACGAUGGCCGGCGCGCCGGCGAGGCCGAGGGAGAGCCUCCAGCCCCACUCGAGGCUCGCGGUGCCGUAGUUGACGAGGUUGGCGAUGAGGAUCCCGAGGGCGAGGAAGAACUGGAAGGCGACGCCGAGGGAGCCGCGCCACCGCGCGGGGGCCAUCUCGGCGAGGUACAGCGGGGUGGCCUGGUUGGUGAACCCGACGCCGAAGCCGAGCAGCAUGCGCCCGACGAUGAGCAUGGCGAGGUUCAUGGCCGCGCCGGUCAUGGCGCCGCCGGCGAAGAAGAGCGCCCCGCCCAGCAGCAUCACGCCGCGCCGGCCCAGCGACCUAGUGACGCGGCCGGCGGCGAAGGACGACACGAGCCCCGCGAUGUAGAGCGACGAGGUGAAGGAGGUCAGCGCGUGGCUGUCGAAGAUGCAGUACUGGCUCCGCUUCGCGUCCGCCAUCCUCCUCAGCACCGUGGGGAAGAAGGUCUGCAAGAAGGGCUUCAUCUGCGAGACGCCGCCUGAAUUUUUCACAAUAUAGUUAGCAAGAGAUCAGAAACGAGACGAGCACACCGCGCAAGAUCGUGGUAAGCUGUGGGUGAAUCUGACCUGAGAUGCCGAUGUCGUAGCCGAAGAUGAGGCCGCCGGAGGCCGCCACGAGGCAGGUCAUGACUACGGUGAACGUGAGCUCGCCGCCGUAAGCCAAAGGGGAGCCAUGGCCAGCCUCAACGCCAACGGCACCUACGGCCAUCGCGUUUCCUCCCCUGUUGUGUGUGUGUGUGGAGUGGACGCCCUGCAAAGGCUUCUCGUGCUACUACCAGUGGAGUAUUGUGGUCACUGGUCAAGGUAUCGAGAAGGAGAGCUGACUGGCAGCAACGGUACCGAGGAAGGGUGCCCAGCUCUCAAGGGCCGGCAUCAUCGUGUAUUUAUAGAUUGGUCAACUUUGGGCAGGCCAGUGUAUAUCUCGCGUUCAUGUUUGUUUGUUUUUUGAGUUGGCAUUCAUGUUUUAGAUAUGGCACUCUCAAAUCUCAAUGCACUAUAUUUGUGUUGCAUUUAAAACAAUUCUUAUUUAAUACUCCCUCCAUUUCUAAAUAUUUGUCUUCCUAGAAAUUUCAACAAGUGCCUACAUAUGGAGCAAAAUGAGUGAAUCUACACUCUAAAAUAUGUCUAUAUACAUCCGUAUGUGGUAGUCCAUUUAAAAUCUCUAAAAAAGACAAAUAUUUAAAAAUGGAGGGAGUAUCUGUUGUGAGAGAAAAUUUCUGAGAUAUUAUUGCUCCCUUCGUGUUUAUAGCCCUAUAUUUAGAUUAAGAUAUGGUAACUCUAUCUUUUAUCAUUCAAUAGGUACCAGAUAAUAUACGUGGUAAGCAACCCAAACUAUUCAACAGAAAAAUUCUUAUGAGUCCAAGAUGGAGCACUGGGAGUGUCCUUACUGCAUGACAAGCUACAACAACCAUAUCUCAUCAUGGUCAGGGCUAGCUGACUCAAGAUUGGGUGAAUAACUAACCAACCUAUACUUGGGUGUAAAUGUGAUACUAAGCACGAUUCCUAUCACUAUCCUUGAAUCUUCACACUAAAAAUAAGAAACCUACCUUCUGCUGCAUAGAAGUCGUAUUGUUUGACGGGUCUUACAACGGCAAGUACCGCAUAGUACGGAAGUACCAUAGGUUGGCGCAAAUACAAAAUCAUUUCAAUUUAAAACUCUUGUCACAACCACGAGGCAUUUUUGUAACCCAGAUCGAACAAACCAGCUGUGAAGUGGUUAGCCAUGCCACCGGGUCAACUAGGGAACUAAUAAAGAUGAUUAGUAUACAUGAUUCGGGAACUAAUAAAUAUUAUUAGUAUACAUGAUUCAUUUGCUUAGAGAGUACGUACUCCCUCUGUAAACUUUUAUAGAUCACUACUUAGACUCUUUAGAUCACUAGUGAUCUAAAAAGUCUUAUAAACGUUUAUAGAGGAAUAGUAGUUUGGACUAUGUGCAUCGAGUAUGUAUUUCAUCAUGCAUGGUUCCACUUGCACUUAAAAUUCAACAAGCGAGGCUAGUGUGGCUCCAAUACAUAUCUUUACGAUGUUAGAUGGCAUGUACUCCCUCCGUUCGGAUUUACUUGUCACAAAAAUGGAAGUAUAUACAACUAAAAUACAUCUAGAUACAUUCCUUUCUUGGACGAGUAAUUCCAAACGGAGGGAAUAGCUAUUGACAUGAAAAUUGAACUCUUGUUGUCUGACAAUAAAUAUAUCUGCAAGUCCACCACAAGACCGAAUGAGUUCACAGAACAAUGGCCGGCUUUAUACGUUUUUUCCCUGUUUUUUUUUCUUUUUCUUAUACGUUCUUUUUGUAUGUCAUCAUGCGGUAAGCGUGAUCAGCCAACUACAAACCUUGAUGGUUAAUUAUACGGGUUGUAUGUCAGCCGAAGACUUUGGAUCAAUCAUUGGCACUCGUUCACUACAUAGGUGUAGCAGACUAACAAAUGAUAAAGAGCUUUCGUUCUAAGAGUAGCUCUUGUUUUGAUGUUAGUGGUUUUGUGCGGAAGCCAUUUGUAUUUGAGAAAUUUUAACAUGAUCCCAAACUAUUUUAGCCAUCUAUGUUUUUUGAUCCAAGGGCCAUAUAAUCUCUUAUCAUCUAAGAAGUAAGAUUACUAAAUAGGCAGUAAAUUUUUCAUUUUUCGAAGGGCUCCUAUUAAUACUAUGGAAACAUAAUGCUAAGAACUCUGGUCAUAUAGACUAUUACGUUAAAUAAAUAAAUACUUUCAAAAAAAGUAUGCAAUGUAACUUGUACAUCAAAUGUUUGCACGGUUAAAAAAAUUACUAGCUUGACAUGCCAACAAAAUUGCUACAUACAAUUUAAAUCAUCCAUUUUAUUUCAAUCAGAUUUCAAUUUCUUCGAAACAAAAUUUGAGAAUCCAUUGACAACAAUCUUUUCCACAUGCAAAUUAAAUUAAAUUUAUUUAUUUUUCAAAGAAUUUAAGGCACGGACAAUUUGAGCCAUCCAACCAUACUUAUUUUUUUAAUAUACUGGAACAUUUUUAAAUGUUUCGUAUAUAUGUACUAUGAGAAGUAAAAGCUGCUUAGAGCAAGUACAUUAACAGGCUUAUAGCCCGCUUACAUGACAAUUUUGCCUACGUGAAGAAGGUAUACAUGACAAAGUAAGGGGAGUGGACUCUCAUGAAAGAGCUUAGCUAUGCAAUAGAUUCUUAAAAAAGGAAGAUACAUUAAAUGUGAAGAAAGAGAUAGAGAGAGGAUGAAAAAAACACUAGUCUUAUAGCCAAUCUUAUAGCUAACCUUGUUUUAUGAAUGACUAUAAGUGAUGAAUAUAGAUGACAUGACAACAUCGUAUAGCCGACAGUUGGUUGUACCAUUAGCCAUGCUCUUCGAAUGUUUCAUCUUCAAAACACAUUGAUUUAAUUAUUGUAAUAUCCUUGAUUUCGUGAGGAAUUUAUAGGAAAGACAAUAAUGUGCAUUAUUAAUUUCCUUUUUAUGCCACGAUGUAUUAAUUGGAGGGUCAAAUAUGAUCUUUUUGCACAAUAAAAAUCACCAAUAAUCAAUGGCUAGGAUUCGAUGACUCUUACCUCUCUAGAUGUAAGAAGAACCAUUGUAAAACUGCUCUUGCUUUUUUCCUUUGUGCACAUGGAUGUCGUCUCUGUUUUGCUCUGUUAGUUUUGAUAUUGGAACCCUAACCUUACUGUAUCAUAUGGGAAAAAAAUAUUGCUGCUAUCUAACAACGGAAUAUCAUCGGAAAAAAUAAAUCUAUUUUGGACCAAUGGGAAUACAUACAUCAUCACCGUCCGCAUGCAACCAUUAAUGCGAAAACAAUUUAGAAACUGAGCGCCGAAUCAAUUUGGAAAUCAAGUCAUUAAUGUAAUUAAUUAGCCAGACAGUUAAUUACAUAUGCAAUUAAUUAGGUCCAUUUAAACAUGAUUUUUUCACGCGGAAUUAAUAAAAAUCAAGUCAUUAAUGUAAUAAAUAAAUUAGGCGGGCAAUUAAUUAGGCUUACAAAUAAUUAGAAGUAGGUAUUUCUUUUCGAAACGUGUUUUCUCUAAUAGGCGUAGUCCACUUUUCUAGCUAUUCUUUCCAAAACCACUCAUAAUCUACCACUUCACAUGUCACAACUCUUCAUGCUCAAUACAUAAAACAAUAUCACAUCAAGCAUAUCCAUCAAGAAAUUCAGAAAAGUCAUGUUGACCGGAUGUGCGUCAUGUGAGAUAGUGUGUGAUUCUUUGUAACACCCACCAUGCGAUCCUAGCCUCAGCGAAGACUUUGCUAUCCUCGCUAAGGAUAGAAUCCCAUAUUGGUUGCCCUAGAAUAUGACUUCAUAACAUAAACGUAAUGUCAUAUGCUGGUGAACAAAGAUGGAACAUCACAAGAAGUACAACUAUACAAGAUAAAUGAGUUUAAUACGAGUGAACAAAAUGGCGAACAUAUGCCAAUAUGAUAAUAUAGUUAUACACCAAUCAGAGGUCACAUGACCGAACAUUACAACACAAAAGAAACAUGGGUCCGAGCACGGACAAGAACCGAAGUUGCCUAAAGAGGCUAGAACAUAAGCAAACAUCCCAUAACCAACGGGUUUCAAGAUGCCAAAACCGGGAUCUACUAGUCGUCGUCGAAGAAGAACUCCACGAAGAACAUUCCGCGCUCUCAGAGCAAAGCUUUACUUAGCAUGUACAUGCACCUGGGGAUGUUGUCGUAUUUGUGAGCCUUGAGGACUCAAAAGUCCCGUUACCAAGGGUACCAAGACUAACAAUACUUAUUGGUUGGAUAUGGUUAAGUGUUGAGGUUGCAGCACAAAGCUAAGCAAUGUAACCAACUAGUCAUACCAAUACUAGAACAAGAUGAGAUCAACCUACACAAUGGGGUCGCAAAUUAGUUGAUCAAUAAGUGAUCCUAAUCAGCUGCCUACGAUUCCAAACAUCACCCUACAAUGUUCUCUUCUUUCUUGCAUACCCACAAGAAGAGACAAUCGAUACGCACACGUUCAAGCAAGUUUUAUUUAUUAGUUGAAGUUGUCUAUGCCUGGCAUUAUUGGUGGUAAAUGUAGUAGAAAACAAAAAAAAUCGCCAAACAAUCAACUAGGAACACUAUGAAGAUGCAAUAACGGUUUGGAUCGGAUCGUUACCAACUCCGAGUUGCAUCGGAAGAAGACGAGUCGGUGUAGAUCAUACUUGAAGUCCCUCAAACCAUCGAUGAACGAUCCCUCGAACCAUUCAUGAACAUUCCCUCGAGGGGAAGACCGAAUGCAAGGACUCUCCAUAGAUGACAAGCAUACGGUCUCCACGAUCUGGCAAGACUUCACCGUCCAGAGCUAAUCGUCACCGGAGAAUUAGAGGGAGGGUAUUAGAGCCAUACUUGGCUUAAUUAUGAGGAUUAGAGGAUCUAGGUCUAGCCCUAAUUGGAUCAACAAGAACUAGAACUAGAGAACUAGAGGAGCCUCCAAAAACUUGUGUGUUCAAAAGUGCCCAAAACCUCUAGNNNNNNNNNNNNNNNNNNNNNNNNNNNNNNNNNNNNNNNNNNNNNNNNNNNNNNNNNNNNNNNNNNNNNNNNNNNNNNNNNNNNNNNNNNNNNNNNNNNNNNNNNNNNNNNNNNNNNNNNNNNNNNNNNNNNNNNNNNNNNNNNNNNNNNNNNNNNNNNNNNNNNNNNNNNUACAAGGGGAAGGGGGCACCACCACUAUUGGGCCUAAGUGGUCCAAGUAGCUCUCCACCACUUGGCCUUUUAAGGCCCGUUGAUAUUUAAAUAAAUAUAAAAGCACCCUUAUCAUAUUUCAAGCCUUUUAAUAUUAAUCUAACAUCACUAGAAACUACUUCCACCUAUAUAUAUAAUUUAUCGGUAUUACCCAGUAAACCACGACACGCUUUCGGUUCCUCUCGAAACUAUUUUGAAUAUUAAUGAAACUAUUUCAUAAAUAUUUUCUCCUUACUCCUGUCCUACUAACACUCAGCAGAUCAUGAUUACCUUAAGUUUGUGACGAUGUAGGUUCGGUAAAACAUAGAUAUGAACAAAACCCCUUCCGCUCAAUGACCAAUAGCGGAACCAUGGACAUCCAUAUCGAUCCCUAUGAGUACACGAAUGCCAUUCGAGUGAACCUUUGGUUAUCAUGUGAUAUUCCCUUUGCUUCAUGAUACUUUACAAAACACGAGGUGAGAUAUAUCGGUAUCCUCUUGAGUCAUACACAUGCUCACUAUACCAGUCUCCACGUUACCGGUUUCAUUCUUCUUUCUCAUUGACAUGUUCCGGCAUCCCUCUGACAUAGUCACCUGUGUCUGGCCACACAAUGACAGAUGUCGUCACACUGAGAUGGCCCUAAGAAUAACCCUCCAUUGUCGUAGGAGCAAAUUCCACUCUUGAGCUAUCUAGUCCCUUGUCAAAAUUUUCGAUGAACCUGUAAGUUGUUGUUAUGAUCACCGUGUUACAGAUGACGUUUGAGCAGCCCCAAAGUUCAUAGUACGGUAAGAUGACUACGAUAUUCUCAUGGUUUAAGGAACUAAAUCACGUGUUAACACUCAGUGGUAUAACAAUUGACUUCUAACGAUAUUAACGAUAUUACCUCCAAUUAUAACAAGCAAGUUUGGGUCGAUUCAAUAUGAUCGUUCUUCCAACGUCAUAUCCUCAAAUUUGUUUUGAGACUAUCGUUACACUUAACGAUCUCAAGAUCGAGAAAACGUGAUCACAAAUAAAACUUGGGCUAGUCUUAUAGGUGAGACUAGGAGUCAGAUUUAACCGUUUAUCAUUCCACACAUGCAUAUAAGUUUUCCACUGAAUCACAUAUUCCAGGAUCAUAGCAGUUAUAGCAUAGAAUAUAAACUCCUAAUUAUAAACAUGAAAUAAUAAUAAUAAAAUAUUAUUGCCUCUAGGGCAUAUUUCCAACAAUUAUAAAUUUCCAAAUCGCCCGUAAUCGCAGGCACGACUUUCCGAAAAUUUAACCCUGCAAGGGUGCUUUCAACUUCCCAUUAUAAGUUCUGCAUGCAUACCCUAUUCCUCCAAGUUUAGGGCCGAUGAGAACCAACACGUAAACACGAUAAAUUCCAGGAGUUCGGGAUUAACAAGUUCCUCUAGCGAAUGCCAAAUUAAUCCAGAAGACCUCCUGGUGGAUCGACAUUUGGAUCAGAGCCGGAUGUAUCUUUAGACCCGAUCCCAGAUGGAUGGGCAAAGCUUUUGAUAGCCAAACCCCAAGUUUCCCCAUGGUGGCACCGGUGGCUGCUCAUUGUGGACCAAGCUUUUCUUAGGUGGUGGCCCAAGUUGUUUAUUAAGAAACCUCGGGUUCAUGACUCUCUAUGCAAGUUUUAUGUUGGCAAAAUUUAGUAUCAAUAUUGGGCCUUCUAGAAGAGUUCAAUGCUAGAUAAAGGAGUUCAAGGGGGCCAUAAUAACCCGCACAUGGUAGGAUGCGCUCAUCAAGGAACAUAUAGCCAGAACAACGGAAAGUAGGGUUGACCAGAGUGGAAAAAAUUACCAAGGCAUAGGCCUGAGCCUUCCACCCUUAGUCAAGUAUGUAUUUCAUCAUGCAUGGUUCCACUUGCACUUAAAACUGAACAUGCGAGGUUAGUGUGGCUCCAAUACAUAUCUUCACCAUGUUAGAUGGCGUGUUAGAGUAGCUAUUGACAUGAAAAUUGAACACUUGCUGUCAGACAAUAAAUAUAUCUGCAAGUCCACCACAAGACCGGAUGAGUUCACAGAACAAUGGCCGGCUUUAUACGUUUUUUUCCUGUUUUUUUCUUUUCUUAUACGUUCUUUUUGUAUGUCAUCAUGCGAUAAGCGUGAUAAGCCAGCUACAAACCUUGAUGGUUAUACGGGUUGUACGUCAGCCGAAGACUUUGGAUCAAUCAUUGGCACUCGUUCACUACAUAGGUGUAGCAGACUAACAAAUGAUAAAGAGCUUUCGUUCUAAGAGUAGCUCUUGUUUUGAUGUUAGUGGUUUUGUGCGGAAGCCAUUUGUAUUUGAGAAAUUUUAACAUGAUCCCAAACUAUUUUAGCCAUCUAUGUUUUUUGAUCCAAGGGCCAUAUAAUCUCUUAUCAUCUAAGAAGUAAGAUUACUAAAUAGGCAGUAAAUUUUUCAUUUUUCGAAGGGCUCCGAUUAAUACUAUGGAAACAUACUGCUAAGAACUCUUGUCAUAUAGACUAUUACGUUAAAUAAAUAAAUACUUUCAAAAAGAGUAUGCAAUGUAACUUGUAUACACAUCAAAUGUUUGCACGGUUAAAAAAUUUACUAGCUUGACAUGCCAACAAAAUUGCUACAUACAAUUUAAAUCAUCCAUUUGCUUUCAAUCAGAUUUCAAUUUCUUCGAAACAAAAUUUGAGAAUCCAUUGACAACACUCUUUUCCACAUGCAAAUUAAAUUAAAUUUAUUUAUUUUUCAAAGAAUUUAAGGCACGGACAAUUUGAGCCAUCCAACCAUACUUAUUUUUUUAAUAUACUGGAACAUUUUUAAAUGUUUCGUAUAUAUGUACUAUGAGAAGUAAAAGCUGCUUAGAGCAAGUACAUUAACAGGCUUAUAGCCUGCUUACAUGACAAUUUUGCCUACGUGAAGAAGGGUAUACAUGACGAAGAAAGGGGAGUGGACUCUCAUGCAAGAGCUUUAGCUAUACGCGUGCUCUUAGGAAGAUGCAAUAGAUUCUUAAAAAAGGAAGAUACAUUAAAUGUGAAGAAAGAGAUAGAGAGAGGAUGAAAAAAACACUAGUCUUAUAGCCAAUCUUAUAGCUAACCUUGUUUUAUGAAUGACUAUAAGUGAUGAAUAUAGAUGACAUGACAGCAUCGUAUAGCCGACAGUUGGUUGUACUAUUAGCCAUGCUCUUCGAAUGUUUCAUCUUCAAAACACAUUGAUUUAAUUAUUGUAAUAUCCUUGAUUUCGUGAGGAAUUUAUAGGAAAGACAAUAAUGUGCAUUAUUAAUUUCCUUUUUAUGCCACGAUGUAUUAAUUGGAGGGUCAAAUAUGAUCUUUUUGCACAAUAAAAAUCACCAAUAAUCAAUGGCUAGGAUUCGAUGACUCUUACCUCUCUAGAUGUAAGAAGAACCAUUGUAAAACUGCUCUUGCUUUUUUCCUUUGUGCACAUGGAUGUCGUCUCUAUUUUGCUCCGUUAGUUUUGAUAUUGGAACCCUAACCUUACUGUAUCAUAUGGAAAAAAAAUAAUAUAUUGCUGCUAUCUAACAACGGAAUAUCAUCGGGAAAAAAAAUCUAUUUUGGACCAAUGGGAAUACGUACAUCAUCACCGUCUGCAUGCAAUCAUUAAUGCAAAAACAAUUUAGAAACUGAGCACCGAAUCAAUUUGGAAAUCAAGUCAUUAAUGUAAUUAAUUAGCCAGAAUGUUAAUUACAUAUGCAAUUAAUUAGGUCCAUUUAAGCAUGAUUUUUUCACGCAGAAUUAAUAAAUAUCAAGUCAUUAAUGUAAUUAAUAAAUUAGGCGGGCAAUUAAUUUGGCCUACAAAUAAUUAGAAGUAGGUAUUUCUUUUCGAAACGUGUUUUCUCUAAUAGGCGUAGUCCACUUUUCUAGCUAUUCUUUCCAAAACCACUCAUAAUCUACCACUUCACAUGUCACCACUCUUCAUGCUCAAUACAUAAAACCAAUAUCACAUCAAGCAUAUCCAUCAAGAAAUUCAGAAAAGUCACGUUGACCGGAUGUGUGUCAGGUGAGAUAGUGUGUGAUUCUUUGUAACACCCACCAUGCGAUCCUAGCCUCAGUGAAGACUUUGCUAUCCUCGCUAAGGAUAGAAUCCCAUAUUGGUUGCCCUAGAAUAUGACUUCAUAACAUACACGCAAUGUCAUAUGCUGGUGAACAAAGAUGGAACAUCACAAGAAGUACAACUAUACAAGAUAAAUGAGUUUAAUACGAGUAAACAAAAGGGCGAACAUAUGCCAAUAUGAUAAUAUAGUUAUACACCAAUCAUAGGUCACAUGACCGAACAUUACAACACAAAAGAAACAUGGGUCCGAGUACGGACAAGAACCGAAGUUGCCUAAAGAGGCUAGAACAUAAGCAAACGUCCCAUAACCAACGGGUUUCAAGAUGCCAAAACCGGGAUCUACUAGUCGUCAUCGAAGAAGAACUCCACGAAGAACAUUCUGCGCUCCCAGAGCAAAGCUUUACUUAGCAUGUACAUGCACCUGGGGAUGUUGUCGUAUUUGUGAGCCUUGAGGACUCAAAAGUCCCGUUACCAAGGGUACCAAGACUAACAAUACUUAUUGGUUGGAUAUGGUUAAGUGUUGAGGUUGCAGCACAAAGCUAAGCAAUGUAACCAACUAGUCAUACCAAUACUAGAACAAGAUGAGAUCAACCUACACAACGUGGUCGCAAAUUAGUUGAUCAAUAAGUGAUCCUAAUCACCUGCCUACGAUUCCCAACAUCACCCACCAUGUUCUCUUCUUGCUUGCAUACCCACAAGAAGAGACAAUCGAUACACACACGUUGAAGCAAGUUUUAUUUAUUAGUUGAAGUUGUCUAUGCCUGGCAUUAUUGGUGGGAAAUGUAGUAGAAAACAAAAAAAUCGCCAAACAAUCAACCAGGAACACUAUGAAGAUGCAAUAACGGUUUGGAUCGGAUCGUUACCAACUCCGAGUUGCAGCGGAAGAAGACGAGUCAGUGUAGAUCAUACUUGAAGUCCCCCAAACCGUCAACGAACGAUCCCUCGAACCAUCCAUGAACAUUCCCUCGAGGGGAAGACUGAAUGCAAGGACUCUCCACAGAUGACAAGCGUACGGUCUCCACGAUCUGGGAACACUUCACCGUGCAAAGCUAAUCAUCGCCGGAGAAUUAGAGGGAGGGUAUUAGAGCCAUACUUGGCUUAAUUAUGAGGAUUAGAGGAUCUCUAGCCCUAAUUGGAUCAACAAGAACUAGAACUAGAGAACUAGAGGAGCCUCCAAAAACUUGUGUGUUCAAAAGUGCCCAAAACCUCUAGUAUAUAUAGGUUAGAGGAAGGGAAGGAGGCGCCACACAAGGGGGAAGUCUCCCCCCUUGGCCAGCCAAGAGGAGGGGGGCGGGGACUUCCCUCCAAUUUGACCUCCCCCUUCCUACUACAAGGGGAAGGGGGCAUCACCACUAUUGGGCCCAAGUAGUCCAAGUAGCUCUCCACCACUUGGCCUUUUAAGGCCCGUUGAUAUUGAAAUAAAUAUAAAAGCACCCUUAUCAUAUUUCAAGCCUUUUAAUAUUAAUUUAACAUCACUGGAAAUUAUUUCCACCUAUAUAUAUAAUUUAUCGGUAUUACUCAGUAACCACGACACGCUUUCUGUUCCUCUCAAAACUAUUUUGAAUAUUAAUGAAACUAUUUCAUAAAUAUUUUCUCCUUACUCCUGUCCUACUAAUACUCCGCAGAUCAUGAUUACCUUAAGUUUGUGACGAUGUAGGUUCGGUAAAACAUAGAUAUGAACAAAACCCCUUCCGCUCAAUGACCAAUAGCGGAACCAUGGACAUCCAUAUCGAUCCCUAUGAGUACACGAAUGACAUUUGAGUGAACCUUUGGUUAUCAUGUGAUAUUCCCUUUGCUUCAUGAUACUUUACAAAACACGAGGUGAGAUAUAUCAGUAUCCUCUUGAGUUAUACACAUGCUCACUAUACCAGUCUCCACGUUACCGGUUUCGUUCUUCUUUCUCAUUGACAUGUUCCGGCAUCCCUCGGACAUAGUCACCUGUGUGUGGCCAGACAAUGACUGAUGUUGUCACACCAAGAUGGCCCUAAGAAUAUCUCUCCAUUAUCGUAGGAGCAAAUUCCACUCUUGAGCUAUCUAGUCCCUUGUCAAAAUUUUCGAUGAACCUGUAAGUUGUUGUUAUGAUCACCAUGUUACAGAUGACGUUUGAGCAGCCCCAAAGUUCAUAGUACGGCACUACAAAAAAAAGACACAUCCGUGACAUUUUGGGCCGAACAAUUUUUUUUUCUGUCAUACAUAUGACACUUCUAUGGCGAUAAUUGUGACAAAACCCGGUAUCAUCAUAGAUGUGGUGGGCUCCUACUUAUAUGAAAAAAAAUCAUGACAGAAAAUGGGCUUUUCGUCCUGGGCGGGCCGGAGACGCAACUGCAUGAGAUUCUUUGGACCGUCCAUGACGGAAAAACCGUGGUAGAAGCGAGGGGGAGGAAAAUUUCGGGGAGUUACCGAUUACGGUGGGAGGUCGGGGGCCGAGCGAUGCGCGUUUCUCUCGUACACGUGCGAGGCGUUGGCUCUAACUAAACCCGAGCGAGGUGUUGGGCUCUAACUGAACCCGAGCGAUUGCACUGCAGGCUACGCGUUACUGAACCCGAGCGAUCGAGAUGGCUGUUAACUAAACCCAAUGGAGCNNNNNNNNNNNNNNNNNNNNNNNNNNNNNNNNNNNNNNNNNNNNNNNNNNNNNNNNNNNNNNNNNNNNNNNNNNNNNNNNNNNNNNNNNNNNNNNNNNNNNNNNNNNNNNNNNNNNNNNNNNNNNNNNNNNNNNNNNNNNNNNNNNNNNNNNNNNNNNNNNNNNNNNNNNNNNNNNNNNNNNNNNNNNNNNNNNNNNNNNNNNNNNNNNNNNNNNNNNNNNNNNNNNNNNNNNNNNNNNNNNNNNNNNNNNNNNNNNNNNNNNNNNNNNNNNNNNNNNNNNNNNNNNNNNNNNNNNNNNNNNNNNNNNNNNNNNNNNNNNNNNNNNNNNNNNNNNNNNNNNNNNNNNNNNNNNNNNNNNNNNNNNNGCCACACCCCUCCCAAUGAACAGGACCCCCGCUUCGACCUUAGUGCUCCAACACAAGUCCGUUUCAUCCGUUUUGCGGUAGGCCACACCCCUCCCGAUGAACAGGACCCCCGUUUCGACCGUAACGCUCCAACACAAGUCCAUUUCGUCCGUUUUGCGGUACGCCACACCCCUCCCGAUCAACAGGACCCCCGUUUCGACCAUAGGAGACCCUUUCCUCCGUUUUGCGGUACGCCACACCCCUCCCGAUCAACAGGACCCAGUUCCGAACGUAGGAGGUCCGUUUCCUCCGUUCUGCAGUACACCAGGCCUUGUUCCAUCGCCUGUUCCGUCCAAGCCCUCCCGAUGAACACGACCACGCAUUCCGUUCCGACCCAGCCGGUUGGCUCCCCAUGAACACGACGACGACAUUGUUUCUCCUUUCCGACCCAACCAUGUACGUAUGCGCGAGUAGGCGUUCGAGACCCUGCCCGUAUGUACGUACGUGGACGUAUUUUCUUUCUUGCACCCUCGCCGUUGUACAUACGUGUACAUGCUACAUGCGCGCCUCUACUACGACACGUGCACGCCUCUACAACGACCAGUAUGUACAUACACGUUUGCGACCAGAAUGACAACCCUACAUACGCUUCGACCAGGUGGGUCCCGACUGUCAGGCACUUCCUUGCGUGCGAAGAUGUAGCUGGUGGGUGCCAACAGUUAGGGGGGCGAAUCGUUUUUUUUGCCCGGACACACUUCCUUGCGUGCGAAGAUGUAGCUGGUGGGUCCCAACAGUCAGGGGGAAACGUUUUUUCAUGAAAUAUGGUGGCCCGUCCGGUGGGUCCCUGCUGUCAAGUGGAGGAAUAAUUACUUUUGCGCGUAAUAAGGAGGCACUUCCUUGCUGCGGCCGUGGACCCAGCUGCCAGCCUCUCCACGUACAGUCCACGUCCGAUGGAAGCCAUUCCUUGACCAUGUUGACCACGCCACGCCGAGAGCACCAGGGCGGUGGACGACGGCGAGGCCUAGGAAGGGGACGACGCGGAGCCGGGGAAGACGCGGCAGUGGAUGCCCACAUGUAGAGGAGUAUGAGGGUUCAUUGGUUCGCUGCCGUGUGAGGCUGCCGUAGCCGCAGAAUAACAGGGGGUGUGGGUGAGUAGAGGGAUGGCCUGGCCAGCGGUGGGAGUAGUAGGGGGCGGUGAGGCCUCCUCCGCAUCGCAGCCGGCCAUGGGAGGCAGGAGCACGAGGCACGACCGGCGCUGGUUUGGGCGGCUGGAGCAAGAAGACCAGAGGUUGAAGAAGCACUACGGCCGUUGGAUGGACAUUGUACGGUCACUGGAGCUAGAAUCGUGCAUAUUGACUAAGUUGACAAAGCCCUCCGUCCCCGUCAAGUUAGUAGGCCCACAAGUCAGCCUGCCACUAUAUUGGGUCCCAGCUAACAGGGGGAGUAUUCAUUUUUUUGCUUCCUUGCGUGCGAAGAUAUAGCUGGUGGGUCCGAGCUGUCAGCAGCGGUAACGUUUUUUUCGCAAAAUACAGAGGCCCUUUCGGUGGGUCCCUGAUGUCAGGUGGAGAAAUCAUUAUUUUGCGCAUAAUAAGGAGGCAUUUCCUUGCGUGCGGCCGUGGACCCAGCUGUCGGCCUCUUCACGUACAGUCCACUUCAGAUGCAUGUCGGUCGUUGACCAGGACGCGCCGAGAGCACCAGGGCGGUGGACGACGGCGAGGCCUAGGAAGGGAAUGACACGGAGGCAGGGAAGACUCGGCAGUUGUUUCCCACACGGAGGGGAGUACGACUGUACGAGGGUUUACUGGUUUGUCUGCCGUCGCCGGAGAAUAACAGCAGGUGUGGGUGAGUAGAGGGAUGGCUAGGACAGCGAUGGGAGUACGGUGGGGCAGUGAGGCCUGCGGGGCAGCACAGCCGGCCGCGGGGAGGAGGGAGCAGGCAGUCCCGCUGGCGCUUGUUUGAGCGGCUGGAGCAGGAAGAGCAGAGAUUGAAGAAGCAUGACGGCCGUUGGAUGGACAUCCAACAGUCACUGCUUGUGCGUCAACCUUUUUUUUAGGAAAGCCUCAAAUCUGUGGAAAACAGCAUACAACCCAUCUGCCAUUAUUUCUAAUAAUUUACAGCCCAUUCGCUAAUUCUUAAGGUUUUUUUUGGAGCCCAUAUUCUUUUUGUUAGCAUUACAGCCCAUAUUAUGGCCACGGUUAAAAAAUUAUACAAAAUUUUGCAUAUUUCUGUGCGGUCUGAACUGUUUUUAAUCCCGAAAUUUCGACUCACAUUCAAACUGAUUUUAAAAAUAAAUGUAUAUCAAUAUAAAAUCCAACAAAUUCUCCACGCAUAAAAAUUAAUGUAAUUUAAAAUCUCGAAAUGAGAAAAAGAUAUUUGAAACUAAUUGCCGGGUUGAUAUGUUUUAAAAAUGUACAACCCAUUUCUCAUUACUGAUAGGCCAUUUUCUCGGCCAGCCGAAUGAAGCUCUCCUUGUCUUGAAAGAUUUGCAUCCCAACAGGCCUGACAAAGCGACUUACUUGGCAAAUCACAAAAAAACUGGGUUGUGGCCUUGGACCCAGCUGUCAGCCUCUCCACGUACAGUACUCUUCCGAUGGAAGUCGGUCGUUGACCACAUUGACCACGCCACGCCGAGAGCACCAAGGCGGUGAACGACGGCAAGGCUUAGGAAGGGGACGACGCGGAGCCGUGGAAGACGCGACAGUGGAUGCCCACGCGGAGAGGAGUAUGAGGGUUCACUGGUUCGGCUGCGGCGUGAGGCUGUUGUCGCCACAGAAUAACAGGGGGUGUGGGUGAGUAGAGGGAUACCCUGGGCCAGCGGUGGGAGUAGUAGGGGGCGGCGAGGCCUCCGCAACAUCACAGCCGGCCACGAGAAGCAGGAGCACGCGGCACGACCGGCGCUGCUUUGGGCGGCUGGAGCAAGAAGACCAGAGGUUGAAGAAGCACUAUGGCCGUUGGAUGGACAUCGUACGGUCACUGGAGCUAGAAUCAUUCAUAUUGACUAAGUUGACAAAGCCCUCCAUCCUCGUCAACUUAGUAGGCCCACAAGUCAGCCACCCACUAUGGUGGGUCCCAGCUAGCAGAACAAUUAUUAUUAUUAUUUUGUAAGAACUUUCAACUUACGGAAUAAAAAUAUCAUUUUAAUUUGACGAGUUAAUAGUACGUGGGGUGUUAUUAUUUUUUAGGCUAGACGUGGGACAGUUGAGUUGGUUCUAGGGGAAAGUACUGGGAGAAAACUCAGUUUACAUCAAAAAAGAAAGUGGGAGAAAAUUCAGAGACCUGCUGGGUCCACCUGAGGAGAGGAAUAUGUUGGGAGGAAGGAGAUUCGAAGCACGGGAGCCGAGUGAACUAGUUUUUUUACGGACAAGUGAACCUUUUUUUACAUACAUAAGCAAAUAGCCACUAAAAAACCAAUCAGGUUAAUGGGUUCUGAAAAGAAAUAUUUCGGACAAAAUAGAUAAUUACGACACAUAGGCUAAUGCAUGAAACACUCAGAUGAUAAAGGUGCUUAUAAACAGAUAAAGUACAACAUCUAGACCUUCCUGCACGCUUGAUCAUGAUGUUGCGGCUGUCCGUGUACUCGUCGGUUACGGAAAGCAGACACACCCUCAUGUCCAAGAUUUGCCUGUACAUGUCGUAGCAUGCGUAUGCAUCCUUGGCCGCGUAGGUUAUGUAGGCUAGAUUCAGAGGUACCUCCCACGUGUUCAGGUCGUUUUCUUUCAUGUUGGCGUAUCAGGGGUCGAUGAUGGUCUCAGCGAGGUCAACCACGGAGUCCUUCUCUUGCCCAUUGCUGAUGAUCUUGUAUUGCUUCUGGAUGUCGACAAGCUUGUUGCACCAGAUGGCCAAAUCGUCGCGUUCUUCCUUCUCUCCACCAUAGCGAAGGUGCAGUCGGCGCUGCCAAUGAAACGGACGAAUGCCCCAGAACCUGGUGCAUCCAUAGGACUGAGGCGAGGCAGAGCUUCACCGAGUCCGUAUUGUUGGUGUACAUCACAUUCAACUUGGUGCAGCCAUAGGACUGAACGGCGAACUAACUCCUUGCUGAAGUCCAUAUCCAACAGGCUCACCCCUCGGAUCGCCAUUAGAGUCUUUUCGAGUGAACGAGUGUGUAGGCAGCAACAGCAAUUCGUUUUUCAGCUCUUGGGGAACUGGAUUCAACAGUAAGACUAUCCACAGUGGGAGUAACUUCAGUAGUAACAUCGAGUCCAACUCAGCAAAUUUACUUAUGUGGCAGUGAGUUAAUGAGGAGAGAGAUAGUUAUAGUAACUUAGCUAGUUACUGUAACAUCACAUGUCCCAAUGCAAUAUGAGCUAUAACCUAAUAAAUGAAGGGAUUUGUGUAUGUUACUGAUACGUCUCCAACGUAUCUAUAAUUUUUGAUUGCUCCAUGCUACUUUAUCUACUGUUUUAGGCAAUAUUGGGCUUUAUUAUCCACUUUUAUAUUAUUUUUGGGACUAACCUAUUAACCGGAGGCCCAGCCCAGAUUUGUUGUUUUAUGCCUAUUUCAGUGUUUCGAGGAAAAGGAAUAUCAGACGGAGUCGAAACGGAACGAAAUCAACUGGAGAAGUUAUUUUUGGAAGGAAAGCAACCUGAUGGACUUGGAGUGCAUGUCAGGGGAGUCCCGGGCUGCCCACGAGGGUGGGGGGCGCCCCCCUGGGCGUGCCCCCCUGCCUCGUGAGCACCCCGGAGGUCCACCGACGUACCCCUUGCACCCAUAUAUACCUACGUACCCUAAAACUUCCAUAACAAAAGAUAGAUCGAGAGUUCCGUCGCCGCAAGCCUCUGUAGCCACCAAAAACCAACCGGUGGCCAUCUUCAUCAUCCCGGUGCUAUCCAUGACGAGGAGGGAGUAGUUCACCCUUGGGGCUGAGGGUAGGUACCAGUAGCUAUGUGUUUGAUCUCUCUCUCUCAUGUUCUCUCUCGUGUUCCCUCUAUGGCACGAUCUUGAUAUAUCCCGAGUUGCUAUUGUAGUUGGAUCUUAUGAUGUUUCUCCCCCUCUGCUGUCUUGUGAUGAAUUGAGUUUUCCCUUCGAAGUUAUCUUAUCGGAUUGAGUCUUUAUGAGAACACUUGAUGUAUGUCUUGCCGUGAUUAUCUGUGGUGACAAUGGGAUAUCAUGUGCCACUUGAUGUAUGUUUUGGUGAUCAACUUGCGGGUUUCGUGACAUUGGGAACCUAUGCAUAGGGGUUGGCACACGUUCUUGACUCUCCGGUAGAAACUAUGGGGCACUCUUUGAAGUACUUUUAUGUUGGUUGGAUGAAUCUGAGAUUAUGUGAUGCAUAUCGUAUAAUCAUGCCCACGGAUACUUGAGGUGACAAUGGAGUAUCUAGGUGACAUUAGGGUUUUGGUUGAUUUGUGUCUUAAGGUGUUAUUCUAGUACAAACUCUUUUAUAGAUUGAUCCGAAAGAAUAACUUUGAGGUGGUUUCGUACCCUACCAUAAUCUCUAUGUUUGUUCUCCGCUAUUAGUGGCUUUGGAGUGACUCUUUGUUGCAUGUUGAGGGAUUGUUAUAUGAUCUAUCUAUGUUAUUAUUGUUGAGAGAACUUGCACUAGUGAAAGUAUGAACCCUAGGCCUUGUUUCCUAUCAUUGCAAUACCAUUUACACUCACUUUUACCACUUGUUACCUUGCUGUUUUUAUUAUUUCAGAUUACAAAAACCUAUAUCUACUAUCUAUUUUGCACUUGUAUCACCAUCUCUUCGCCGAACUAGUGCACCUAUACAAUUUACCAUUGUAUUGGGUGUGUUGGGGACACAAGAGACUCUCUGUUAUUUGGUUGCAGGGUUGUUUGAGAGAGACCAUCUUCAUCCUACGCCUCCUACGGAUUGAUAAACCUUAGGUCAUCCACUUGAGGGAAAUUUGCUACUGUCCUACAAACCUGUGCACUUGCUGGCCCAACAACGUCUACAAGAAGAAGGUUGUGUAGUAGACAUCAAGCAGUUUCUGGCGCCGUUGCCGGGGAGGUGAGUGCUUGAAGGUAUAUCUUUAGAUCUUGCAAUCGAAUCUUUUUGUUUCUUGUUUUAGCACUAGUUAGUCUAUAAAAGAAAAUUACAAAAAAAAUUGGAAUUAAGUUUGUCUCAUGCGCUUCACCUUUUUAAUAUCUUUCGUGAGUAUGAUGGAAAGGAUAAUUGUGCUCAAGUGCUAGAAGAAGAAUUCUCUAAAUUGUUUGGCACUAAAUCUUUGAAAGAUGAGCAUGAUUGCAAUGUUGUUAGUACGAAUUCUUUGAAUAUCCAUAAUACUAAUGAUGAUUGCACUAGUUAUGAUAAAAAUAUCUCUUAUGGGCAUCUCAACUUUUGUGGAGUGCAUGUUUGCAUGAACACACCAAAUAGAGAAGAUAUUUAUUGCAAGAGGCAUAAGUACUUAGAAACCAAAUUGUUGCAAGAAGAGCUAGAUGAAUGUGCUGAAAGAUUCAAUAUUUUUCGCGGUCCUUGUGAACUUUGCAAUAAACAUGGUCAUUUAAAGCUCCAAUGCUAUUUUUUCAUGAUCAAGUCGUGUCCAAAUAUUGUGAUAAUUUGAUUACCCUUGAGCAUCAUAAAGAGCUUAGCCUUCUUUUGGGUUAUGAAGAAAUGAAAUGUAUAACUGAGGGUAUUCCAAAAUUUGCCCUUGAUAAAGUUCUUCAUUUUGAUCUAGAGAAAAUUUAUAUGUAUUGUGCGGUGAGUCAUAUUGAAAAUCCUUAUAUUGCCAAUUACAUAAAGAAAAGAAAACAAAUAGAAGAUGAUGAGAAUACUAAUGAAAGGGAAGAGACUUCCCAAUAUCCUCCUAUUAUUUCUCAUGAUGAAUCAGGCAACGAGGGGGAGCUUUCUAUUCAACCAAUCUCAUCAAUAAGGAGAUCAAAGAGGAAGGUUGAACCCACACAUAAUGUGAAGAAGAAAAAGAAAAGAAGCAGCAACAAAGGUAGAGAGGUAUCCCUCCCAAAUGAUGUUGCUCCUACUACUCAUUGUGAUGAUGAUAAUUGCUAUACUAUUAGUGCUAUCUAUAUUUUUAAUGAUGAGAGUGAUUAUGCUUAUGAUAUGAAAGGGCCCAAGCUUGGGGAAGCUAUGUUUGAUGAGGAUGAAAUAUUUGAGAAUAUAUUUGCUGGAAUUAAUGUUUGUCCCAAGCUUGGGAAUGCUAUGUUUAAUGAAGAUUAUAUUUUUAGCAUCCCAAGUUUUGAUAUGCAAAGUUGUUAUGAUGAUAGCAUGCCUCCUACCUAUGAUGAUUAUAUUGAUGAAAGUGGGUUCGGAAGAGUGUCAAUUUUAGGAAGUAGUGAUCCCACUAUUUUGGAGGAUGUUGAAUUUUAUUGUGAUGAAUAUGAACGUGGAUUUGGAAGAGUGUCAACUUUAUUUAGUGAUUCCACUAUCUUGGGAGAGGUUUCAAUCGAUUAUGAUGAGAACGAAGUUGCUACUUAUGAUGAUUAUUGUGAUGAAACUUAUGCUAUAAAAAGUAGUGAUGAUUAUAUUUACAAAUCUUGUCAUGAUUAUGAUUACCCUUUUUCUGAACAUUACUCUUUUAAUGUGGAAACAAUUUUUAGUGUUCAAGUCUCUUAUGAUACUCCUACUAUUCCGAAUGAGAAGAAUUUUGCUUUUGUGGAGAGUAGUAAAUUUUCUAUGCUUGUAGAUCAUGAAAAGAAUGUUUUAGGUGCUGGUUAUAUUGUUGAAUUCAUUCAUGAUGCUACUGAAAAUUAUUAUGAGAGAAGAACAUAUGCUUGUAGGAAUUGCAAUAAUGUCAAGUUUCCUCCCUAUGUGCUUAAAUUCUUGAAGCUAUGCUUGUGUUACCUUCCUAUGCUAGUUGAUUAUUGUUCCCCUAAGUUGUUUUCUCACAAAAUCCCUAUGCAUAGGAAGUGGGUUAGACUUAAAUGUGCUAGUCAUAUUCUUCAUGAUGCUCCCGUUAUGUUUCAAUUCUUAUCUUUUAUGUGAGCAUCAUUGUCAUCAUCACGCCUAGCUAAAAAGGCAUUAAAGAAAAGCGCUUGUUUGGAGAUAACCCAAUAUUUAUCCUUACUGUUUUUGUGUGUCCACAUGAUUAUGCUACUGUAGUAAUCAUGUUUUAUAGCUUUUGUUUCAAUAAAGUGCCAAGUAGAACCUUUGGGAAGACUUGGGUGAAGUUUAUGUGAUCUUGCUGUGAAAAACAGAAACUUUAGCGCUCACGAGAUUAGCUGCCAUUUUUUACUGGAGAGAGAUUUUAGGUUGAUUCUUUUUGCAGAUGAUUAAUAGACAAAUUGCUAAGGUCCAGAAAUUUAUUUCAUAAUUUUUGGGGUUCCAUAAGUAUACGUUUGAUACAGAUUACUACAGAAUGUUCUGUUUUUGACAGAUUCUGUUUUCUAUGUGUUGUUUGCUUAUUUUGAUGCAUCUAUGGCUAGUAUUGAGUGGUAUGAACCAUAGAGAAGUUAGAAUACAGUAGAUAUUACACCAAUAUGAAUUUAGAAUGAGUUCAUUACAGUACCUAAGUGGUGGUUUUAUUUUCUUAUACUAACGGAGCUUACGAGUUUUGUGUGGUUGAAGUUUUCAAGUUUUGGGUAAAGAUUCGAUGGACUAUGGAAUAAGGAUUGGAAAGAGCCUAAGAUUGGGGAUGCCCAAGGCACCCCAAGGUAAUAUUCAAGGACAACCAAGAGCCUAAGCUUGGGGAUGACCCGGAAGGCAUCCCCUCUUUCGUCUUCGUUCAUCGGUAACUUUACUUGGAGCUAUAUUUUUAUUCGCCACAUGAUAUGUGUUUUGCUUGGAGCGUCAUUUUCUUUUGUUAGUAUUUGCUUGCUGUUAGUUAGAGUAAUGUUUUGCAUCUUUAGUUUAAAUAAAAAAGUCAAGGAUAGCCUUUGCCAUGCUUAUUUUGCUAGUUUGCAUGUUGCUGUUUGAAAACAGAAAGUUUACCGCUGUUGCAAAAAUUCCCUAGGAAAGUCAGAGAAUGGUAUAACGUUGAAUCUUUUUGCAUGUUGAGCUCUGAUAAAUUUAUUACAGUGGGAAUUUUAGUUCAUAAUUUUUGGAGUCAGGGAAGUAUUGAUACUCUUGCAUUCUUUACAGACUAUACUGUUUUGACAGAUUGCUGUUACGGUUGCAUUGUUUGCAUAUGUUUGCUUGUUUAAUGAUUCUAUUUGAGGAUAGGAGUAUUAAAUAUACAGAGGAAUUUAGUAUUCAAUGUUGAAUAAUAAUUUUAGUGAUUUGUCACAGUAGAAAAUGAUAAGGUUUUGCAUUGGUUUAUACUAACCUAUCUCACGAGUUCUUGUUGAGUUUGUUGUGAACGAAGCUUUUGAUAAAAAGAGAAACCAUGAUAUGAGAGGAAUUAAGGAUACACAAAAGUUCAAGCUUGGGGAUGCCCAAGGCACCCCAAGAUAAUAUUUCAAGAAGUCUCAAGCAUCUAAGCUUGGGGAUGCCCCGGUAGGCAUCCCACCUUUCUUCUUCAACAACUAUCGGUUAGUAUCGGUUGCGCCUAAGUUUUUGGUUCUUCACAUGAGUUGUGCUAUCCUUGCAUUGUAGUUUUCUUUAGCUUUGCUUGCUGUUUGGAUAAAGUAUCAAGAUCUGAAAUUCCUUUAAUGAGAGAGAGUCUUUGCAUAGUUGCAUAAUUAUUUGACUACUCAUUGAUCUUCACUUAUAUCUUUCGGAGUAGUUUGUCUUUUGCUCUAGUGCCUCACUUAUAUCUUUUAGAGCACAAUGGUGGUUUUAUUUUGAAGAAAUAUAUGAACUCUCAUGCUUCACUUAGAUUAUUUUGAGAGUCGUUAAUAGCAUGGUAAUUUUCUUAAUAUUAAUAUACUUAGUGUUCAAGAUAUGUGAAACUUUCUUUUGAGUGAAUUGAAUACUAAGAUAAGUUUGAUGCUUGAUAAUUGUUUUGAGAUAUGGAGGUGAUAAUAUGAAAGUCGUGCUAGUUGGGUGAUUGUGAAUUUGAGAAAUGCUUGUGUUGAAGUUUGCAAGUCCCGUAGCAUGCACGUAUGGUUAAAGUUGUAUAACAAAUUUGAAACAUGAUGUGUACCUGGCUUGUGCAUCCUUACGCGUGGCGGUCGGGGACGAGCGAUGGUCUUUUCCUACCAAUCUAUCCCCCUAGGACCAUGCGCGUAGUACUUGAUUUUUGAUGACUUCUAAAUUUUUGCAAUAAGUAUAUGAGUUCUUUUGACUAAUGUUGAGUCCAUGGAUUAUACGCACUCUCAUCUUUCCGCCUUUGCUAGCCUCUUCGGUAUCGUGCAUUUCCCUUUCUCACCUUGAGAGUUGGUGCAAACUUCGCCGGUGCAUCCAAACCCCGUGAUACGAUACGCUCUAUCACACAUAAACCUCCUUAUAUCUUCCUCAAAACAGCCACCAUACCUACCUAUUAUGGCAUUUCCAUAGCCAUUCUGAGAUAUAUUGCCAUGCAACUUCCACCAUCAUCAUAUUCAUGACAUACAUUACUUUUGUCAUAUUGCCAUUGCAUGAUCAUGUAGUUGACAUCGUAUUUGUGGCAAAGCCACCAUGCAUUAUUUUCAUACAUGUCACUCUUGAUUCAUUGCACCAUCCCGGUACACCGCCGGAGGCAUUCAUAUAGAGUCAUAUCUUGUUCUAAGCUUCGAGUUGUAAUCCUUAUGUUGUAAUCAAAAGAAGUGUGAUGAUCAUCAUUAUUAGAGCAUUGCCCUAUCAAAAAAAAGAGAAAGGCCAAAAGAAAAACAAAAGAAGGCCCAAAAAAUAAAAAAAAUAAAAAGGCAAUGCUACUAUCUCUUUUUCCACACUUGUGCUUCAAGGUAGCACCUUGUUCUUCAUGUAAUGAGUCUCAUAUAUUGUGCUUCAAAGAAGCACCAUGCUCUUCAUGUAGUGAGUCUCAUAAGUUGUCUUUUUAUACUAGUGGGAAUUUUUCAUUAUAGAACUUGGCUUGUAUAUUCCUACGAUGGGCUUCCUCAAAUGCCCUAGGUCUUCGUGAGCAAGCAAGUUGGAUGCACACCCACUAGUUUUCUUUUGUUGAGCAUUCAUAGCUCUAGUGCAUCCGUUGCAUGGCAAUACCUACUCCUCAUGUUGACAUCAAUUGAUGGGAAUCUCCAUAGCCCGUUGAUUAGCCUCGUCAAUGUUAGACUUUCUCCUUUUUUGUCUUCUCCACACAAUCCCCAUCAUCAUAUUCUAUUCCACCCAUAGUGCUAUAUCCAUGGCUCACGCUCAUGUAUUAUGUGUAGGUUGCAAAAGUUUGAGAUUAUUUAAGUAUGAAACAAUUGCUUGGCUUGUCAUCGGGGGUAUAGAAGUUGGGAACAUCUUUGUGUGACAAAAAUGAAGCAUAGCCUAACUAUAUGAUUUUGUAGGGAUGAACUAUCUUUUGCCAUGUUAUUUUGAGAAGACAUGAUUGCUUUGAUUAGUAUGCUUGAAGUAUUAUUACUUUUAUGUCAAUAUGAACUUUUGUCUUGAAUAUUUCGGAUCUGAAUAUUCAUGCCACAAUUAAGAAGAUUUACAUUGAAAUUAUGCCAAGGUAUCACUCCGCAUCAAAAAUUCUUUUUUAUCAUUUACCUACUCGAUGACGAGCGGGAAUUAAGCUUGGGGAUGCUUGAUACGUCUCCAACGUAUCUAUAAUUUUUGAUUGCUCCAUGCUACUUUAUCUACUGUUUUAGGCAAUAUUGGGCUUUAUUAUCCACUUUUAUAUUAUUUUUGGGACUAACCUAUUAACCGGAGGCCCAACCCAGAUUUGCUGUUUUAUGCCUAUUUCAGUGUAUCGAGGAAAAGGAAUAUGAGACGGAGUCAAAGCGGAACGAAAUCAACUGGAGAAGUUAUUUUUGGAAGGAAAUCAACCUGAUGGACUUGGAGUGCACGUCAGGGGAGUCCCGGGCUGCCCACGAGGGUGGGGGGCGCGCCCCCUGGCCUCACCCCCUGCCUCGUGAGCACCCCGGAGGUCCACCGACGUACCCCUUGCACCCAUAUAUACCUACGUACCCUAAAAGUUCCAGAACAGAAGAUAGAUCGGGAGUUUCGCUGCCGCAAGCCUCUCUAGGCACCAAAAACCAAUCGGGACCCUGUUCCGGCACUCUGCCGGAGGGGGAUCCCAUCAUCGGUGGCCAUAUUCAUCAUCCCGGCGCUAUCCAUGAUGAGGAGGGAGUAGUUCACCCUCGGGGCUGAGGGUAUGUACCAGUAGCUAUGUGUUUGAUCUCUCUCUCUCGCGUUCUCUCUCGUGUUCCCACUAUGGCACGAUCUUGAUGUAUCCCGAGCUUUGCUAUUGUAGUUGGAUCUUAUGAUGUUUCUCCCCCUCUACUCUCUUGUGAUGAAUUGAGUUUCCCCUUUGAAGUUAUCUUAUCGCAUUGAGUCCUUAUGAGAACACUUGAUGUAUGUCGUGCCGUGAUUAUCUGUGGUGACAAUGGGAUAUCAUGUGCCACUUGAUGUAUGUUUUGGUGAUCAACUUGCGGGUUUCGUGACAUUGGGAACCUAUGCAUAGGGGUUGGCACACGUUCUUGACUCUCCGGUAGAAACUUUGGGGCACUCUUUGAAGUACUUUUAUGUUGGUUGGAUGAAUCUGAGAUUGUGUGAUGCAUAUCGUAUAAUCAUGCCCACGGAUACUUGAGGUGACAAUGGAGUAUCUAGGUGACAUUAGGGUUUUGGUUGAUUUGUGUCUUAAGGUGUUAUUCUAGUACGAACUCUUUUAUAGAUUGAUCCAAAAGAAUAACUUUGAGGUGGUUUCGUACCCUACCAUAAUCUCUACGUUUGUUCUCCGCUAUUAGUGGCUUUGGAGUGACUCUUUGUUGCAUGUUGAGGGCUUGUUAUAUGAUCUAUCUAUGUUAUUAUUGUUGAGAUAACUUGCACUAGUGAAAGUAUGAACCCUAGGCCUUGUUUCCUAUCAUUGCAAUACCAUUUACGCUCACUUUACCACUUGUUACCUUGCUGUUUUUAUUAUUUCAGAUUACAACAAAAACCUAUAUCUACUAUCUAUUUUGCACUUGUAUCACCAUCUCUUAUUUACCAUUGUAUUGGGUGUGUUGGGGACACAAGAGACUCUCUGUUAUUUGGUUGCAGGGUUGUUUGAGAGAGAUCAUCUUCAUCCUACGCCUCCUACGGAUUGAUAAACCUUAGGUCAUCCACUUGAGGGAAAUUUGCUACUGUCCUACAAACCUGUGCACUUGCAGGCCCAACAACGUCUACAAGAAGAAGGUUGUGUAGUAGACAUUAGUUACUAGUGUAUGUUACUACCCAUUGUGGCUAGUCUAAGCUGAGUGUGUACAGGCGACAACAGUUACUACCCCUCCCUCGUCCACUGCAUGCCCGACAGAAGAUGCACCCUCGGCACAUUCAAACGCCUCCAUUAAGAAACCUACUCCGGCCACACGUCGGUUCACGAGCUGGUCUGUAUUGGUACUGUAAUAAUAGGAGUUAGUGGUCACUUUCCUUAAAUUUAAUUAGCUUUAAUAGAAAUUUAUACUUAAAACAAGAAAUGCAUUGGCUCAUUCUAUCAGUGCCACGGGAUCAACAUGCACAACAAUUAGAAUUAUUAUUCUCGGGACGCACACGAUUAGCACAUUUGUCGCACUUUCACAAAGAUAAUAUAGCAAGUUUGAACUGUUUAUUAUGGUUGUUGUCCUCUGCAUCAUCAUGCCGUGUUUCCCAGCUUGCAAGAUUCAGAACCAACAAAUAAGAUCCAAAUAAUAAGUACAACAAAGAUGCCUACACAUCUCAUUGAUUCCCAGCUUGCAAGAUUCAGAACGAACAAAUAAGAUCCAAAUAAUAAGUACAACAAAGAUGCCUACACAUCUCAUUGAUUCCCAGCUUGCAAGAUUCAGAACCAACAAAUAAGAUUCAAAUAAGAAGUACAAAAAAGAUGCCUACACAUCUCAUUGAUUCCCACCUUGCAAGAUUCAGAACCAACAAAUAAGAUUCAAAUAAGAAGUACAACAAAGAUGCCUACACAUCUCAUUGAUUCCCAGCUUGGAAGAUUCAGAACCAACCCAUUAGAGCCUUUUGAUAAAGUGAAUAUCGGGAUUAAAUCCAUCUUGGCUAGCCAUGCCAUACAAUCGAAGAACUUGGCGAAUGCUCUUGACCGUCACAACAUCUGUAGUUGGGUAUUCCCGUUUGCACAGCAUGUUUGCACAGCACAAAUAAGGAGACAGGAAAGCAUGAUUUCACUUUAAUAGCGGCCUCCUUGAACUCAACCUCCAGGUCCACUAGGAUGAGGUCUGCCUGGAGUUCCAUGAUUCAAUUCAUGCGCCUUUUUCUGCGGUUCACCUGAAAUGAAGCAAAGAUUGCAUCAUUCAGCUAGCAAGAAGUACUUGCUCUUGUGAGCUGGCAGGUUCUUUUUUAGUAGUUGCACUAAAAUUGAGGAACAUUAAGGUUUGCUGUCCGGCUCAUGUAAGGUGCAACUAUAAUUUUCUUAUCCUUUUGUGCAGUUCCACUAAAAUAAAGUGCCAUUAUGGUGACAGUGACGACUCCAUCUUGCAAAGGCUAAUAAAAUGUUGCACGAGAUUACCCGCAGAACUUGACAGAGAUUUUGGAAACUCCAAUCACCAUUUUGUGCAGUUCCACCAAAAUUGAGAGAUGUUGCCCACGUGACAUUUUAGUUGAACUGCACGAGACACUCAUUCAAAAAAAAGUGUUUUGUGAAGUUCACCAAAAGGUCACAAUAGCAACAAGAUGAAAUGGAUAUCCCUAUCUGCACAAAAUGAGAGAAAGUAAACAGUUGCUGGUCAAUAAGAAUAUACGAAACAUAUACAAAAUGAAAAGAAGCAUCUUAAUUAUGUUCAUGGCAAUCACACAAGGACAGUAGAAACUGUAAAACGUCAGCAAUGCUUCAUGUUACCAGAAGCAUUACAAUCGACAAUGAGAUUCCUCAGAUAUGGGAUUACUUUAAUGGUGGCAUUGCUUGUUUACCAGACACAGUAAAUCAGCAGCAGCUAAAGAGUUGGUUUAAGGGCAUGGGACCAUGGGGACACCAGGACACUCAGCAGUGUAAAGGAGCAACUUACUUAUCAUACUGGGGAAAACAGCAGGAGUGCCAUUUGUAACACAGUUUAAUUGCAUCUUAUCACUGGAGGCAUUAGAUUAACAAUACUGGUUAGACAUGUCCCUAAGGUAACAAUGUGAUCGCUUCAUUUUACAUGCACCCUUACAUUAACAAUAGCAAAAGGUUGGUAUAAGGACAUACGACAGUGGACGCAUUAGCACAAUGUACCUACAAGGAGGCAUAAAGUGGUGAUGCCGAGCUUGUUCACGCUAUGUGAGGGCAGCAAACCAAAUCCUGGAGACCUUUUACUAUGUGAGGGCAGCAAAUCUAAUCCUGGAGACCUUUUACUAUGUGAGGGCAGCAAAUCUAAUCCUCAGACCUUUUACUAUGUGAGGGCAGGAAAUCUAAUCCUGAGACCUUUUACUAUGUGAGGGCAGCAAAUCUAAUCCUGAGACCUUUUACUAUAUGAGGGCAGCAAAUCUAAUCCUGGAGACCUUUUACUAUGUGAUGGCAGCAAAUCUAAUCCUGGACAUACUCUGUUGACUUGUCCACCAGCCGCCACUUUCUAUCCUUUUUUUCAACCAAUAAUAGAUCUGUUCCUUAUCCAGUUUGUACUGCGUUUUCCCAUUAUUUCCCUUUUCAACCAAGAGACCGGUUGGGUAUCCGGUCUCUACUACUUUCACCAUAUUAUUUCCUCUUUGAAUCAAGUCCUAGAUUCAUGCUACAGCUUUCCCCCCUUUCUUUGUUGUUUGAACAAAGCCCUAGAUUCGAAUGCAUGAAGUAGCUUUACCUCUAAUAAUACUAAAAAUUUAGGUGGCUUUGGAAGAGCUGAUGGGUGUAGAAAAAGAUGCACAUGCAGACACGUGGGGAGCUGGGGCAGUAGAGCAAGGCCGCUUUCGAAGAACUUAUACCUGAGGGUCGCCGAGAUGUCGGCGGCGGCAGGUCGGACCUGCGGACAAUACGGCAGGGAGGAAGAAGGAUCGGAGGACCUCCCAAGCUGACACUGUGUCGGAGAGAACGGCAUGGGCAGAGGAUCGGGCCCCUCCGGCAGCUGUGGGUUUCCUCCCUCGGCGGCGAUGACCGCGUGAAUGAUGCACCUUUUAGUCCUCUACACACUGGCCAAAGGGAUCCGACUGGAUCUGUGACCAGCGGUGAGCAGAGAGAAAAUGUCGCUACCGUUGUCUUGUUUAUAUAUGGAGAGGAUGAGAGAAUGAAGAGAGCAACCCUAGUAAAGCAAGCGCUCAGGCCCCUGCGUCCAUAUAUAGUGGAGUGAUUAUCUUUUUUCUCUCCACAACAAGCUUUUCAAUUUGUGUACGUGGCAUUAAAGAAAAGAAACUCUCUAUUUAAGGUGACUACUCUACGACUCCUACUUACUACUACAGUAUUGUUCACUUGUGCUCCCCGCCCCUCCAUUCAUUGAACAACCCCACGGGUGAAUAAACAUACUGUAAGUACUGUAUUUAUAUAGAACGAACAAGCUCGAACUAUUUUCGUGUAGUUAAAAGUUGAGGGCGGGGCUUUUCCCGGACAGUACGCGCGGCAGUUUUCGGGUAAGCGGUUUGACAGAGAGGCGAGGAGGGUGAGCGAGUGGGGCUAUGCAAUUUGAUGGCGCGUUACUGCUGGAAAGACUUGUGAUAUGACCACUCACUAUAGUCAUGAAUUACUGGUGCUCCGACCGGGCCGGGGUGAUGCCCCCCUUCCGUUCUGCGCUCUAAUCUGGUGCAUGACACAUCGACCCGGAUGCUGGCUCUCCCACAUGUCGGAGUAGUAAGAAGGAGCAAAGAAUGAUGCAGUAUAUACUAGUACUAUACUACUCCAUCCGUUCCUAAAUAUAAGUCUUUGCAGAGAUUUCACUAUGGACCACAUACGGAGAAAAAUGAGUGAAUCUACAUAUAAAAUGCAUCUAUAUACAUCCAUAUGUGGUCCAUAGUGAAAUAUCUACGAAGACUUAUAUUUAGGAACGGAGGGAGUACUACUCAGGUCAGAGGAGUGCGAACCACGGCAGCCCAGUGAACCAGCUGUGCGAACCACGGUAGCCCAGUGAACCAGCAGUAGAAAACAAUGUGGUGAUAUGGCCAUAAAAAACAAUGUGCUACGGUCCACACUGUAGCAUGUACAGUAACACUCCUCUUUGUUUGGAUCCCUGAGUUAGAGCUAGUUUGGGUUGAAUAGCCUCAAAUUAUCAAAACAAGAGGGGUUAGUUUGAGCUAGUUUGCUCUAACCCAGCUAAAAAAACUAGCCCGGUGGAGAGGUUCUAAUUGGGUUAGUUAUCCUCGGGCCCACUAAAAGAGAACUAAAAAAAGGUCACCUGCCCGUACCAGAUUGCUCCCCUAAAAAAAUCUCACCUGCCCGCACCAGAUCGCUCCCCCCCUCUCGCACGACUCCUCUCUGUUCCCCAUAGGGCCGCCCGCCCAAGCGCCGCUUGCCCUCUCUCUCCUCCGGCCGCCCUCUCCUUCCGGCCUCCGCCGCCCUACUCCGGCCGCCCUCUCCCUCCGACCUUCGAAGGUCGCCUCGCUCCCCCUUCACCAGUCAUUUUUCUCCCUCAGUCGUGCGCGGCGGUGGCGCAUCUACCAGGGAGGUCGCGAGAGGGGUGAGUUUGUUCGUUCCUUCUCUGUCUCACGACUAUAAGGGCAUAUUUAUUCCCAAUAUAUUUUGGUGAUUGAUGACAAUGCUUGUGCGGACUAAUCGUGUGCGUUUAGUUCUUUCAGAGAUUCAUCCAUUGGCACGAGACGAUUUCCUCCCCUCGUGUUGUAAUUCAAGACGGUGUAGCUCCUUCGUUUCGUUGUUGGUGGACUAGUUUCGUAGGAGUCACCGUACUAUCAAGAGGGGAUCCAUUUUGGUAAGACUUGGGUGGAAUCUCACGUACACAUCCUUAUCACACCCGUCGUCUUUCCUUCCGCAUCUCUGGAGCUGCCGUUUUCCCCUUACUAUGCUCUUCUUUGCCCUAGCGGUAGUACCGCGUCCGCAACGGUAGUACCGCCGAAACUCCACAGCGGUAGUACCGCUCUCAGAGCGGUAGUACCGCUUGGGUUUUUCGGCCGUAGUACCGCUGUGCGUCUGGGCUACUUCCACCUCGAUUCUCGAAUGAAUUUUUCAUGUCGGGUUUUGCGGCACUAAGGGCGGUAGUAGGGGUGGUAGUACCGCUCUAAGCGGUAGUACCGCCCUUCCCUAGCGGUAGUAUCGCCCUGGUGUCAGGGCCCUGGGCAGCGCGGCAGUACCGCUGGGUCGAAGCGGUAGUAUCGCCCGGAGCGGUAGUACCGCUCUUCCCUGGCGGUAGUACCGCCCUGGGGUCAGGGCCCCAGGCAGCGCGGCAGUACCGCUAGGUCGAGCGGUAGUACCGCUCGGAGCGGUAGUACCGCCCUUCCCUAGUGGUAGUACCGCUCUGUGCGGGGCUGGUGAGUGGGAUAACAGUUGGAUUGUUCUUCCCACUAUAUAAAGGGGUCUUCUUCCCCAAAGUUGACCUACCUCUUUCCCCCAAAGCUCCAUUGUUGGUCCAAGCUCCAUUUUCGCCCGAUCUCUCUCCCUAGCCAAUCAAACUUGUUGAUUUGCUCGGGAUUGGUUGAGAAGGCCCAGAUCUACACUUCCACCAAGAGAAAUUUGAUUCCCCCCACUUAUCCCUAGCGGAUCUUGUUACUCUUGGGUGUUGAGCACCCUAGACGGUUGAGGUCACCUCGAAGCCAUACUCCAUUGUGGUGAAGCUUCGUGGUGUUGUUGGGAGCCUCCAAGUGUUGUGGAGAUUUCCCAAAUCUUAUUUGUAAAGGUCCGGUUGCCGCCUUCAAGGGCUCCAAUAGUGGAAUCACGGCAUCUCGCAUUGUGUGAGGGCUUGAGGAGAUUACGGUGGCCCUAGUGGCUUCUUGGGGAGCAUUGUGCCUCCACACCGCUCUAACGGAGACGUACUUCCCCUUAAAAGGAAGGAACUUCGGUAACACAUCCUCGUCUCCACCGGCUCCACUCUUGGUUAUCUUGUCCCUUUACUUUUGCAAGCUUACUUGAGUUAUAUCCAUUGCUUGCUUGUGUGCUUAUUGUCUUUGCAUCAUAUAGGUUGUCCACGUAGUUGCACAUCUAGACAACCUAUUUCAUUGCAAGUUUUAAUUUGUUAAAGAAAAGUCUAAAAAUUGUUAGUUGCCUAUUCACCCCCCCUCUAGUCAACCAUAUCGAUCCUUUCAAUUGGUAUCAGAGCCUCGUCUCUUUAUUAAGGACUUUGCCGUCCGAAGAGUAUGGUUGACGUCAACGACGGUGCGGAGGAACACUCUGGUGUGAAUCCCAUCUCGUCUUCGGCCGAAGGGGGAACCUCGGUCUCACGUGAGGAAUUCAAUGUGGCUUUAAACACAUUGAAAACCUCCAUGAUGGCCGAUGUUAAAAGCAUGUUUACUGAAUUUCUAGAGGGACUUAAACUAUCUACCUCACCAAUGAAAGUGGGUGAUCCCACUGACAAGGUGACGGAUGCUAACUCCGAUAAGGGGGAAGCUAACAAUGAAAAGAGUCCAUCUACUAGUGGUAGAAAUGGCACCGACAUCUUUGCCCAUGUGGAACCCCCGGUGUAUAGAGGACCGAUCCCCUCUACUCAUUUGAAUCAUGCCGGUCCUCCUCCUAAAUAUGUGAAAAAUGAAGAUUUUGAUGCUUGGCUCUAUCGCUUCAAGCGUCACUUAAAACAUGUGAACACUAACCUUUGGAGAAUUAUUGAAGAAGGUUUCUAUCCUCAUGAUCCAAGCAACUUCACCCCUCGAGAAGAAGUGGACAAUCAAUUAAAUGAAAGUGCUCUCUUCAUCAUCCAAGAUGCAAUCCUUCCCGAAGAUCUCCCUCAUCUUCGACCUCAUGCCAUGGCUAAAGAAGCAUGGAAAUGUGUCGAGCGUCUCUAUCGAGGAAGUGCUAGCAUUCAACGCUCCAACUAUGAAGUGGCAAAAGAUGAAGCCGAUGAGUUUGCAAUGAAGGAGGAUGAAGAACCUCAUGAGCUCUUUCGAAGAGUGACCAAACUCGCGGUCGCACUCCGAGAUCAUGGAAGCAAGGACACGGAUGGCAACUGGAUCAAGCGCAAGUUCCUCAAGGCCAUGAUGCCCUACAACAAGGCCAUGUCCUCCGUCAUUCGCCAAAGACUGGACUUCCACUCCAUGACCUCUAGUGAAGUGUUGGAUGAGUUUGUUGCAAUGAGCAUCUUGGACAAGACCGCCGACAAUGCGGUGCUCCGUUCCCAAAGGGCAAAGAAGCCCAAUCUUGCCUUGAAGGCCAAGGCUAGUGUGGAAGAAGAAGAAGAAGAGGAAGAUGAGGAGAGCAACCCCGAGGACACGAAGUAUGAUUAUCAUGAGCACAUGGCUCUUGCCUCAAGACAGUUUUGGAGUAAGAAGAAUACAAGACCCAACUUCAACAAGAACAACUCAAGUGGCCUCAAAGGGAAGCAACGAGUUAGAACCUAUUUCAACUGUGGCAAUGUUAGCCAUUUCGUUGUGGAUUGUCCCUACGAGAAGCGGGAAGACAAUGGUGGCAAGUUCAUCCGAAAAGACAAAGCCAAGUCCUUCCCAAACAAGAACAACUUCACCAAGAAGACUCCGUCUCGCGGGUUGGUGGUUCAAGAAGAAUACUGUGAGGAUGACGAUGAUGAUGAAGAUGGUGAAACAAUGGCCAUGUCAUCCGUUGCCAUUGUCACAACUCCCCGGGUGUCUCUCUUCGAUGCACCUAACGAGAACAUCACCGCCAAGUGCCUCAUGGCUAAGGCCACCAACAAGGUAACCUCCAACAUCAAAACCACCAUUAUUCCUAACCCUCCUUCAAUGAAUGAUUUUGAUAAUGGUAAGGGGUCUAAUGAGGAGAUCAAUGAAUUUGAGUCCUUCAUGAGUAAGCUCAAGGGCAAAUCCAAGAAGCACUUUGUUGCUCUCUUGGAACAACUUGGUGAAGCCAAUGACAUGAUCGAGGCUCACGAAGAAACCAUCUCUAAGAUGGAAAGUCAUAGUCGUGACUAUGCCGAUGAGAUAUCGGAUCUCUCUAAUGCUCUUGAGGAAGAGCGUGAGCAUCGUUUGGCUCUUGAGGAGUCACACAACGAUGGUCAUGCUAAACUAAAGAAAGAUCUUGAUCAUGCUCUUGUUGUGUCUCUGUUCUAGCUUCCGAGAAGGCUAAGCUUGGGGUUGAUCAUGUUAGACUCACGGAGGAGUUUGAUGUACUUGACAAGGCCCACAAGGUCUUGAAAGGUGCUGAUGCUACCCUCAAGGAGUCUCAUGCUCAACUCCAAGUUAAGCUAACCAAGGAAAAGGCCACAUUUCCUCACAUGGUCUUAAUUGAUAAUGCAAAUGCUACUAACCCUUGUUGUGAGCAUGUGCAUCUUGUGGAGGAGAAUGCCAAGUUGAAGGAACAACUCGAGAAAGGUCUUGUGUCAUGCAUACAAGGCGAGAAAAACCUAAAUGACCUUUUGAACAAUCAAAAGGAAGUUGUGGGCAAGGAGGGAGUUGGGUUCUCACCCAAAUCCAAGAACAAGAAGAAGAACAAGGAGAAGAAGAGCAAGACCGAUCGACCUCCUUCGCUCACGCAAACCUUUGUGAGGGAGGGAGAAGGUGCUCCUAAGGAGAAAAAGAACAAUGGGAAGAGUGGUGAUGCCAAAGAGCGCAAAGCCAUCUCUCCCAACAAAGCCGGCGACUUUAACCCGUCUUAUGUGUUGUGCCGUGCUAGUGAUGGGCAUGUUUAUGCUAAAUUUGUUGGUUCUCCUUAUGAGUACAUUGAAUGGUCUAUUUGGGUUCCUAAGACCCUUGUUACUAACAUCAAAGGACCCAUUACUCAAUGGGUACCUAAAACCAAGCAUUGAUCUCUUGUAGGUGUUUGCUUCCGGUAGGGGAUCAUGGUUGCUCGAUAGUGGAGCAACAAAUCAUAUGACCGGGAGCAAGGACUUGGUGGUGGACGUGCACAAGAUCCCAUCUAUGCCCACCAAUGUAGAAUGGGGUGAUGCCUCACAUUCUAAGGUAUUGGGUCUUGGCAAGGUUGUCAUUUCUCAUGAUCUAACGAUCGAGAAAGUCAUGCUUGUUGAGUCCCUUGCGUUCAAUUUACUUUCCGUUCGUCAACUCGCACUCAUGGGUUUUGCCACCUUCUUUGAUAUUGAUAUCGUGGCCCUCUUGUGGAGCAAGACUCUUAAAGUAGCCUUUGUUGGGCAUGUCGAGAACGGUCUCUAUGUGGUUAACUUCUCGGAGCAACCCACUAAGACCGCGACAUGCCUAAUGGCUAAAGUUGAUGUGGGUUGGCUUUGGCAUCGCCGUUUAGCCCACGUCAAUAUGAGAUCUUUGCAAAGCCUUCUCAAGGGGGACCAUGUUCAUGGACUAACGAAUGUUAGUUUUGCCAAAGAUCGUGUUUGCAAUGCUUGUAUCGAAGGAAAGCUUCAUGAGAUGGCUCACCCUCCCACGACUAUCAUCUACUCGAAGAGACCCUUGGAGCUCCUCCACAUGGACCUCUUUGGGCCCCCAUCCUUUGAUAGUCUUGGGGGUAGAAAGUAUUGCUUGGUGAUAGUGGAUGAUUAUUCAAGAUACACUUGGGUAUACUUCUUCAAGAGGAAGAGUGAGACUCAACAAACCGUCAUCGACUUUGCAAAUGAAGCUCAACGUCAACACAAUGCAAAGAUCUUGACAAUAAGAAGUGACAACGGCACCGAGUUCAAGAACUACACCUUGGAUGAGUUUCUUAGUGAUGAAGGGAUUAAGCAUCAAUAUUCUGCACCAUAUACCCCUCAACAAAAUGGUGUUGCGGAGAGGAAGAACCGGACGUUGAUGGAUGUGGCAAGAACCAUGAUGGCGGAGUUCAAGUCUCCAUACAACUUUUGGGCCGAGGCCAUCAACACAGCUUGUCAUGCAUCCAAUCGGCUCUAUCUCCGCAAAGGCUUGAAAAAAACUCUGUAUGAGAUACUCACCGGGAACAAGCCCAAUCUCAAGUACUUCCGGGUGUUCGGGUGUAAGUGUUUCAUUCUCAAGAAAGGUGUUCGUUUGUCUAAAUUCGAGGCUAGAGCUCAUGAGGGCAUAUUUGUUGGUUAUGCUACAAACUCUCAUGCUUACCGUGUUCUCAACAAGUCCAACGGGCUCAUUGAGGAGACGUGUAACAUAGAGUUUGAUGAAAAUAACGGCUCCCAAGUGGAGCAAAGUGGUACUUGUGAUGUAGGUGAUGAAAUUCCGCCCCAAGCCAUAAGAAGAAUGGGUAUUGGUCAUAUCCUACCCAUUGAGGAACCCCUUGUGGCCGAAGGAGAAGGACAAUGCUCCACCUCGGUGGAGCCUUCACCUACUCAAGACCCACACGCUUCCGAAGAACAAAGUGAAGGCCCUCAACCUAAGGAACAAGACCAAGGGCAAGAUCAAUCACAAGAUAGUGAUGAACCUCCACAUGAUGCCCAAGGUCAAGUUCUUCCCCUCGAGCAAGUUCAAGAUCAUGAGCAAGCUCAAGAUCAAGAACAAGCUCAUGACGACGCUCAAGAUGAUCAAGUGAACCCUCCUCCUUCGACAUCCGAGGAGGAAUUGGAGCGUCGUGCCAUGAAGAUUGCUUCCAAACUCACCACCAAAGGUCAUCUCAUGGAGAAUGUGGUUGGAAGCCUAAGAAAGGGGGUAAGCACUCGUAGACAGUUAGCAAACUAUUGUGAACAUCAUGCGUUUGUCUCUUGUGUUGAACCCCAUAAGGUCUAUGAGGCACUCGAAGACUCUGAUUGGCUCAAUGCCAUGCAUGAAUAACUCAACAACUUUGAGUACAACAAGGUGUGGAGAUUGGUGCCGAGGCCUUCCGGGAACCAUAACAUCAUUGGAACCAAGUGGAUCUUCAAGAACAAGCAAGAUGCUCAUGGAAACAUCAUUCGCAACAAGGCAAGAUUGGUAGCACAAGGCUACUCCCAAGUCGAGGGUAUCGACUACGGUGAAACCUUUGCUCCCGUUGCUCGUCUUGAAUCCAUUCGUUUGUUGAUUGCUUAUGCUUCCCAUCACAACUUUAAGUAGCAACAAAUGGAUGUUAAAAGUGCUUUUCUUAAUGGUCCUAUUAAUGAGUUGGUCUAUGUCAAGCAACCCCUCGGGUUCGAGGAUCCCUUCUUCCCGGAUCAUGUGUAUCAACUCGAUAAGGCACUCUAUGGCCUUAAACAAGCCCCACGUGCGUGGUAUGACCACCUUACCGAGUUGUUACAAGAUCGUGGAUUUGAAGUGGGGCUAAUCGAUCCCACUCUUUUUACUAAGAAGGUCAAAGGGGAGUUGUUUGUAUGCCAACUAUAUGUUGAUGACAUUAUCUUUGGUUCCCCUAACAAAGCUUUCAAUGAAGAAUUUGCCGCUCUCAUGACCUCUAAGUUGAAGAUGUCUUCGAUGGGAGAGUUGAAGUUCUUCCUUGGUUUUGAUAUCAAACAAAGAAGAGAAGGUACCUUCAUCAACCAAGCCAAAUACAGUCAAGACAUGCUCAAGAGAUUCAAGUUAAGUGAUGUCAAGCCGGCUUCUACUCCAAUGCCCACCAAGUGCCAACUUGACAUUGAUCCCAAUGGUAAAGCGGUGGAUCAAAAGGUAUAUCGCUCCAUGAUUGGCUCCUUGCUUUACCUUUGUGCAUCUAGACCAGAUAUCAUGUUGAGUGUGGUGAUGUGUGCACGGUUUCAAGCUGCACCGAAGGAAAGUCACUAUGUGGCGGUCAAGCGAAUCUUUCGAUAUUUGGCUCAUACCCCAAACUUUGGCUUAUGGUACCCAAGAGGGGCAAACUUCAAGCUUGAGGGGUUUACGGAUUCCGAUUGGGCGGGAGACAAAGUGGAUAGGAAGUCCACUUCCGGAGGGUGCCAGUUUCUUGGGUGCUCUUUGGUGAGUUGGUCUUCCAAAAAGCAAAGUUGUGUGUCUCUCUCGUCCACCGAAGCAGAAUAUGUGGCGGUCGGUAGUUGUUGUGCACAACUCUUGUGGAUGAGGCAAACUUUAAAGGAAUACAGUGUCAUUUGUGACAAAGUGCCUCUUUGGUGUGACAACGAAAGUGCCAUCAAGAUUUCUCUCAACCCGGUGCAACACUUCAAGACGAAGCACAUUGAGAUUCGGUAUCACUUCAUCCGGGAUCACAUUAGGCGAGGAGAGAUCAAGCUCAAGUAUGUCAACACUCAUGAUAACCUUGCAGAUAUUUUCACGAAGCCCUUGGAUGAAGCAAGAUUUCGCGAGUUAAGGCAUGAGCUAAAUAUCAUUGAUUCGAGCAAUGUGACUUGAACCCUUGCACACCCCACCCCACUCAACUUGGUAUCUAGCUUAGAUGUAGGCAUGGACAUAGGGGGAGUGUUGUUCCCUCAAUGAACUUUCCCUCCCCCCAUUAUGCAUAAAACAAUCAACUCUUUCACAAUAGCCAUUUUUGAUGGUACUUGUGCUUCAAAGUCGAGUUUUGGUCAUGGGCCCAAGGAUAAUUCUUCGCGGUGCCAUACCAAUUGACUCAAAUUUAGGUGGCUCCGGCCACCGCCCUCUCCUAAGAGAGGCCAGAGCUUGCUCUGUUUCGUGUGGUUGGUUGUGUUUGAGUUGUUUCUGGUCUGUUGUGUGUGUGUGUGUGUUCCCACGUCGGUCCUCUCGUUCUUUUGGCUUUGCUUUCCGUUUCUUUUUGAGCGUUAGCCGUUGGUCUAGAAGUAGCGUGGUUGUUGAAGCGGUACUACCGCUGGUGGCGAGUGGUACUACCGCUCUUAGCGGUACUACCGCCCUCCAGAGCGGUACUACCGCUCCCAGCGGUACUACCGCCCUCCAGAGCGGUACUACUGCUGUGAGGCGCGGGCUGGGGGUUAUAUCGGGGGCAGGGGGAGUUUCUUCUCCCCCAUACCCAUUCGCUCACCCGCUUCGCCCUGUUCGUCUCUCUCUUCAGCAACCGGCGCCGCGGGAGGGCUCCGGCGGAUCUCCCUCUCCGGGGCGCUCCUCUCCGUUUCCUUCGGUGGAAUCGAUCCCCACCUUGUCCUCUUGCCAUGGAUGCCGGUAUUGCCCCCGUUCCCUGUUUCCUUUUGUCUAGAUUUCCAAUCUAUCAUUCUAGGGGCAAUAGCAGUUGCAUCUCUAGAUUUUUGUCCAGAUCUAGGCUUGAGUAGGAUGGAGAUUGCUUCUAGACUAUUUGGAUUAGUGUUUGGUUGGAGUAUUUUUGAAUUUGGUAGGCGGUAGUACCGGAUCUGACCAUGGUAGUAGGAAACUGCUGUUUCCCCGCCUCGAGCGGUACUACCGCUCUCCCAGAGCGGUACUACCGCUUGGAGCGGUACUACCGCUCAAGGGUCACGGUACUACCGCCUUCUACCCAGUUCCAUCAUCCUCCUACCUCUCAGUGAUCUUUUUUGUUCGUGUUUGUGGCUUACGCUCGUUCUUUCUGGUUGUUUGCGUGUUUGUGUGUGUGGUUCCAGGUGAUGAGGUUCCUGAGCAUCAGGCUCGUCGUGUCAACCCCGGUCGUGCCUCGUCCAAGCGCUACCGCACCACUGAGCCCAUUGAGCCUGCCGGAGGAUCUUCUAGUGCUCCACCUCCUCCCCAACUGCAGAAGAAGCCUAGGGUCAAGCCAAAGCCAAGCAAAACCGUGCUAUAAAUGCCGCCCAAGGAGUUCUAGGCAAGGCGCCGCCGCAACCCGUAUGAGGUCGACCAAGAUCCCACUUUGGUCAACCGUCCGUUCUGGAACAGGUUCCAGUUUGCCAUCUAUUUUGAUGUUCUCAAAGCCAAGAAGAAUCUCUAUGUCAACGUGCACUCCAUCGACACUGAGCAUAUGGAGAAUGAUCCUGACUACUUUGGUGAAGCUCUUCAGAUGUGCUCUCAGCUGAACAUUCUCGGGAUCAUGCAAUUCAACAAGGACUAUGAUGCUGAUAUUGUGGCCCAAUUCUAUGCCACGGUUCACCUUGGGACCGAUGAGGACAGGACUCUGACUUGGAUGACAAAUGGCAAGUUGCUGUCAGUCAACUGGAAAGCUUUCAUGCAGUUGAUUGGGGUGGAAGAUCUUGGACUUGAGUCUUCUGUCGGCUUUCGCCCCCACCGUCGCGCCAAUGCCACUCACAAGCAAGCUCUGUGGCCCUACUGCACUCUGAGGAUCAACCAUGAGACGAAGAAGGAGACCUAUGAGCUGCCUGUCUAUCUGGACAUUCUUCACCGUAUCUUAAGAGAGACUCUUUUCCCUCGCAUCGGGAAUCUGGACCAGGUUCACUCUUAUCUCGUGGACAUGCUUCUCUUCUGUCAGCGGGAGAAGGGGCAGAGCACCAGAGAGUCCCUGGAUAUCUCUCAUGUUAUGUGGUCUGAGCUGGUUUCUGCUAUCUCCGAGCGCAAGUGCCCGAUUUAUGGUCCGUUCAUUAUGCUGCUCAUUGAGAAGGCCUGGGAUCGUGUCUAUCCCAAGGUGGUGCUGGAGAUUGGAGAGUUGGUUUCUCACGAUGUCAAGCGUCUGAGGAAGAAGGAUAACUGGGGCACUCAGGCCCCUAGGACUGGAUUUCCUUCAUCUGCUGGUGCCAUGGAGACUGAGGAGGAGUUUGGGGCUGAGGAUGAGGAUGAAGAUGAUGACUACGUGCCUUCUGAGGCGGAGCCCUCUUGGGCCAAGAAGCUCAAGAUCAAGGUGAAGAAGUUGUUUUGCAUGGAGUCUCACGGUCAGUACAUGACUCAUGUGGCUGAGAAGAAGGCCCGAGGUCGCCACAAGGAGUUCAUGCAUCAGAUGGGUUCUAUUGUGAUUAGUGGUUCUGAGGAUCAGCUUACCGAGGAGGAGGAGUGGAUUCAGCAGCACUGCCCCUGGACUGAUUCUGAUGCUGAGCACUUCCCGGCUGACGAUGGCACUGCAGAUGAUCCCUCUGAGAUCUGAUGGGUGUGCAUCGUUUGCCUUCACCUGGAGCCAUAGCAUCACUCCCUCUCCUUUUUGGUGUCUCGAUGCCAAAGGGGGAGAGAGUUUAGGGAUUUGUGUUUUGUGUCUUCUUCCGUCUUUUGUGUUUGUGCUUUCCUUGUUGCUUUAUUUGGUUUGUGUCAGUGAGACCUAAGUUUCGGUUCUGUCAGUAAGAUCUAAGCUCGAGUCAUAUGGUGUGAGACAUAUGCUACCUUAUCUUUCCGUAUCAUUAUCUAUGUCUAUCUAGCUUAUGAGUUCCAUGCUUAUCCUGUUAUAUUUAUGUUGCUCUCAUAUCUUGCUUAGGUAGUUGGUCUCUAAAAUGUAGGGGGAGCAUUGAUCCUGGCAUCUGUGUCCUGCAGUCCAAAGCACUUUUCUAGGUAGCACACAUCCAGGGGGAGCCCUUCUACAUUUUAGGACGUUUGUGCUUUUGCGCUUAUCCUAUAUCUAUCAUAUUGUGCAAAUCCCGUAUUGUCAUCAAUCCACCAAAAAGGGGGAGAUUGUAAGGGCAUAUUUAUUCCCAAUAUGUUUUGGUGAUUGAUGACAAUGCUUGUGCGGACUAAUCGUUUGCGUUUAGUUCUUUCAGAGAUUCAUCCAUUGGCACAAGACGAUUUCCUCCCCUCGGUGUUGUAAUUCAAGACGGUAUAGCUCCUUCGUUUCGUUGUUAGUGGACUAGUUUCAUAGGAGUCACCGUACUAUCAAGAGGGGAUCCAUUUUGGUAAGACUUGGGUGGAAUCUCACGUACACAUCCUUAUCACACCCGUCGUCUUUCCUUCCGCAUCUCUGGAGCUGCCGUUUUCCCCUUACUAUGCUCUGCUCUGCCCUAGCGGUAGUACCCCGUCCAUAGCGGUAGUACUGCCGAAACUCCACAGCAGUAGUACCGCUCUCAGAGCGGUAGUACCGCUCCGAGUGGUAGUACUGCUCCGAGCGGUAGUACCGCUCUCAGAGCGCUAGUACUGCUCUCAGAGCAGUAGUACCGCUUGGGUUUUUUGGCCGUAGUACCGCUGUGCGUCUGGGCUACUUCCGCCUCGAUUCUCGAACGAAUUUUUUGUGUCGGGUUUUGCGGCACUAAGGGAGGUAGUAGGGGCGGUAGUACCGCUCUAAGCGGUAGUACCGCCCUUCCCUAGCGGUAGUACCGCCCUGGUGUCAGGGCCCUGGGCAGCGCGGCAGUACCGCUGGGUCGAAGCGGUAGUACCGCCCGAAGCGGUAGUACCGCUCUUCCCUGGCGGUAGUACCGCCCUGGGGUCAGGGCCCCAGGCAGCACGGCAGUACCGCUAGGUCAAGCGGUAGUACCGCCCGGAGCGGUAGUACCGCCCUUCCCUAGCGGUAGUACCGCUCUGUGCGGGGCUGGUGAGUGGGAUAACGGUUGGAUUGUUCUUCCCACAAUAUAAAGGGGUCUUCUUCCCCAAAGUUGACCUACCUCUUUCCCCCAAAGCUCCAUUGUUGCUCCAAGCUCCAUUUUCACCCGAUCUCUCUCCCUAGCCAAUCAAACUUGUUGAUUUGCUCGGGAUUGGUUGAGAAGGCCCAGAUCUACACUUCCACCAAGAGAAAUUUGAUUCCCCCCACUUAUCCCUAGCGGAUCUUGUUACUCUUGGGUGUUGAGCACCCUAGACGGUUGAGGUCACCUCGAAGCCAUAUUCCAUUGUGGUGAAGCUUCGUGGUGUUAUUGGGAGCCUCCAAGUGUUGUGGAGAUUGCCCCAAUCUUGUUUGUAAAGGUCUGGUUGCCGCCUUCAAGGGCUCCAAUAGUGGAAUCACGGCAUCUCGCAUUGUGUGAGGGCGUGAGGAGAUUAUGGUGGCCCUAGUGGCUUCUUGGGGAGCAUUGUGCCUCCACACUGCUUUAAUGGAGACGUACUUCCUCUUAAAAGGAAGGAACUUCGAUAACACAUCCUCGUCUCCACCGGCUCCACUCUUGGUUAUCUUGUCCCUUUACUUUUGCAAGCUUACUUGAGUUAUAUCCAUUGCUUGCUUGUGUGCUUAUUGUCUUUGCAUCAUAUAGGUUGUCCACGUAGUUGCACAUCUAGACAACCUAUUUCAUUGCAAGUUUUAAUUUGUUAAAGAAAAGUCUAAAAAUUGUUAGUUGCCUAUUCACCCCCCUCUAGUCAACCAUAUCGAUCCUUUCAACGACCAUAUCAUUGAUCUUGCUUGCUCUAGCGCUAAUUCUGAUUUGGAAAAGUAGAUCCUGAUCGAACUUGCUAUAGAUUUGCGGUGCACGCAUGGAAUUGUUUGAUGCUGCUUGAGGAGGUAAUAAAUCUUUCUAGAGGCCCAAAGAUUCAUGUCACCUUUCUAGGUAUUUCAAUUUCAGGCUUGCAUUAUUUGUAGAGGCCCAAAGAUUCAGUUCACCUUUCUAGGUAUUUCAAUUUCAGGCUUGCAUUGUUUCUAGAGGCCCAAAGAUUCAGUUCACCUUUCUAGGUAUUUGAGUUUCAGGCUUGCAUUAUUUCUAGAGGCCCAAAGAUUUAGUUCACCUUUCUAGGUAUUUCAGUUUCAGGCUUGCAUUAUUUCUAGAGGCCCAAAGAUUCAGUUCACCUUUCUAGGUAUUUCAGUUUCAGGCUUGCAUUAUUUCUAGAGGCCCAAAGAUUCAGUUCACCUUUCUAGGUAUUUAAGUUUUAGGCUUGCAUUAUUUCUAGAGGCCCAAAGAUUCAGUUCACCUUUCUAGGUAUUUCAGUUUCAGGCUUGCAUUAUUUCUAGAGUCCCAAAGAUUCAGUUCACCUUUCUAGGUAUUUUAGUUACAAGCUUGCAUUAUUUCUAGAGGCCCAAAUAUUAAGUUCCCAGCCGGUGGCAAGCGGCCUUGCUACCCAUGCCGGUGUCGACCUCAACUCGCAAGGGCCGGCGUCGGAGGGGUUCCCGGGGCUUGGACUCUACAGAGCCUCCCUCCAGAGCAACGAUGGUGAGCUCCUCCCUCGGUGCGUGAGGGGCUCCGGGCUCCCUCCCUAUCGUGAACGACUUCCGUGAUGAGUUAGCUCAUUCUUUGUUUCAUGAAGUGUUUUUUAUUUUGUGAAGCUUGAUUGACGACUUGUAUGUUUAAGUGGGAUAUCUCAUUUGUAUGGACAAAGUAAAAAUUAUCAUGUUUGGCAUGCUUGAUUUGUAUAGAUGGUUCGUUUAUGUCAAUUGUGAGCGGGAGGAGGCCACAGAAGAGCCAGCCACACCAAGAGGGUGCUUGGAUCCAAGGGACUUAUUUUAGACUGACUAAAAAUAGGGUCCAAAGUAGUCAAGUGAUUGAGAUAGAGCAUUUAUUGUCAAUCUAACCCUGCCAUCCAUACACCUCUUUGGUUUAGAGUUAGUUCAGGGUUAGAAUCUAACUCUAACCUCUAACUGAUUUAGAGUUCUCCUCGUCUCGGUUCAUUGCCAUCAUACUUUCCCCAUUCCUGUGUUUUCAGUAUCUUGUGAAUCAUAGAGGCCCUUUUUUUAUCCGGGAAAAAUCAAAGAGGCCCUUAGAGUGGUUUAGGUCCGGUCAUUUUUUAUAAACGUGCUCCGGUUUCCACGAAAAUAAUCCGGUUUCAUGUAGUAAUUCAUUGAUUUAUUUAUUCUUCUGCGGGGGGUUUGCAUGUAAUUCGUGAGGUCUAAAAUGUAAAGUACCCCGGCAUAUGCUCCGAGUCGUGCAUGCACUACGACCCAGAUGCUCUAUGUCCCACAUGUCGGCGAAUGGGAGCACGUUGAAAUAGCCUAGGAGUACAUAUAGGAGGAUAAAUGCGUGAAAAAAUAUGUACUGUGAAGCGUAGCCGCGGUUUGAAAAGGAGACCUAAAGUGAUGACAGCUAUAGGUCGCACGCACCCAACUAGUGGUACUAGACAUACGACUAAUUUUUCCCUUAAAAAAAGAGGCACGAGUGUUCAGUACUCCUAUUCUAUAAACACGAGUCCCAUCUGACAACAGCAUCCGUGCUACAGCUAGCUCUCCUCCCUCGUUUCUCUCUUCUAAUUCUAAACUCGGCCGACGCCCGGUGGGUGGGGUGGGUUUGCUCAACUGCGGCCCCACCUCACAGUGAAAACGUUACGACUGGAAUAAAAAAUGCCAUAUACUCCCUCCGUUCAUAAAUAUAAGCCUUUUUAGAUACUAGUUCAAAUGGAAUACAGCAUACAGAUGUAUGAAGACAUACUUUAGAGUGUAGAUUCACUCAUUUUGCUCCGUAUGUAGUAGUCACUUGCUGGAAUCUUUAGAAAGACUUAUAUUUGGGAACAGAGGGAGUACUAUACUAAUAAAACAUUAAGGCCAUGAGGCGAUGCAGUGUUGGUUACAGGAGGCAAGAAGAAGAGAUGCAUCCAUCAACGACGUCCACCUCCUCGACUCAGGGCACCGGCCCACCGAACGGCGCCUAAGUAGCAGCGGCUUUCGUGGCCAGGUCGACGUGCUUCUGAACAAUGGCGUCCAAAGAUUCCAGCCGCUGGAAGAAGGUCAACGUCUUUCUGUCCUCGCUUGCCUUGUAGUGGUGUAUGUAGACGAUUUCCUCGUAGACAUGGAUGUGCAGGUCGACGGUUACUUGCAUGGCGAGGCGCUGCACGGCGAGCACGGCCUCGAGGUGCACAUUCUUCGUCGCGACCUCCGGCACCUACAGGGCCACCAGGGCUUGAAAGAGUUCGUCACCAUGUAGGCCGAUGAGGGUGGCAGGCAAUGAGGAGCCUGGGCGCGCGGGCUGGAGCAGUACGGCAAGGUCGUCCGCGCGCUUCUUGUGAAGGAAAUAUGCCCUAGAGGCAAUAAUAAAGUUAUUAUUUAUUUCCUCGUAUCAUGAUAAAUGUUUAUUAUUCAUGCUAGAAUUGUAUUAACCGGAAACAUGAUACAUGUGUGAAUACAUAGACAAACAUAUAGUCACUAGUAUGCCUCUACUUGACUAGCUCAUUAAUCAAAUAUGGUUAUGUUUCCUAACCAUAGACAUGUGUUGUCAUUUGAUUAAUGGGAUCACAUCAUUAGGAGAAUGAUGUGAUUGACAUGACCCAUUCCGUUAGCCUAGCACUUGAUCGUUUAGUAUAUUGCUAUUGCUUUCUUCAUGACUUAUACAUGUUCCUAUAACUAUGAGAUUAUGCAACUCCCGUUUACCGGAGGAACACUUUGGGUACUACCAAAUGUCACAACGUAACUGGGUGAUUAUAAAGGAGUACUACAGGUGUCUCCGAAGGUACAUGUUGAGUUGGCGUAUUUCGAGAUUAGGUUUUGUCACUCCGAUUGUCGGAGAGGUAUCUCUGGGCCCUCUCGGUAAUGCACAUCACUAUAAGCCUUGCAAGCAAUGUGACCAAUGAUUUGGUUAUGGGAUGAUGCAUUACGUAACGAGUAAAGAGACUUGCCAGUAACAAGAUUGAACUAGGUAUUGGAUACCGACGAUCAAAUCUCGGGCAAGUAACAUACCGAUGACAAAGGGAACAACGUAUGUUGUUAUGCGGUUUGACCGAUAAAGAUCUUCGUAGAAUAUGUAGGAACCAAUAUGGGCAUCCAGGUUCCGCUAUUGGUUAUUGACCGAGAAUAGUUCUAGGUGAUGUCUACAUAGUUCUCGAACCCGUAGGGUCCGCACGCUUAACGUUACGAUGACAGUUUUAUUAUGAGUUUAUAAGUUUUGAUGUACCAAAGUUUGUUCGGAGUCCCGGAUGUGAUCACGGACAUGACGAGGAGUCUCGAAAUGGUCGAGACAUAAAGAUUGAUAUAUUGGACGACUAUAUUCGGACACCGGAAGUGUUCCGGACGUUGUCGGAGAAAACCGGAGUGCCGGAGGGUUACCGGAACCCCCCGGGGAGAGAUAAUGGGCCACAUGGGCCUUGGUGGAAAGAGAGAGGGGCGGCCAGGGUGGGCCGCGCGCACCCUCUCCCUCUGGUCCGAAUUGGACUAGGAGGGGGGGCCUCUUUCCUUCCCCCCUCUUCCCCUUCCUUCCCCCUCCUAGUAGGAGUAGGAAAGGGGGAGUCCUACUCCUACUAAGAGGAGGACUCCUCCUCCUUGGCGCGCCCACAAGGGCCAGCCUCCCUCCCCCUCCCUCCUUUAUAUACGGGGGCAGGGGGCACCCCAGGACACACAAGUUGAUCUACGGAUCGUUCCUUAGCCGUGUGUGGUGCCCCCCUCCACCAUAUUCCACCUCGGUCAUAUUGUCGCGGAGUUUAGGCGAAGCCCUGCGCCGGUACAACAUCAUCAUCGUCACCACGCCGUCGUGCUGAUGGAACUCAUCCCCGAAGCUUUGCUGGAUCGGAGCCCGGGGAUCGUCAUCGAGCUGAACAUGUGCUGAACUCGGAGGUGCUGUACAUUCGGUGCUUGGAUCGGUCGGAUCGUGAAGACGUACGACUACAUCAACCGCGUUGUCAUAACGCUUCCGCUUACGGUCUACGAGGGUACAUGGACAACACUCUCCCCUCUCGUUGCUAUGUCAUCACCAUGAUCUUGCGUGUACAUAGGAAAUUUUUUGAAAUUACUACGUUCCCCAACAGUGGCAUCCGAGCCUGGUUUUAUGCAUAGAUGUCAUAUGCACGAGUAGAACACAAGUGAGUUGUGGGCGACACAAGUCAUACUGCUUACCAGCAUGUCAUACUUUGGUUCAGCGGUAUUGUGAGAUGAAGCGGCCCGGACCGACAUUACACGUACGCUUACGCGAGACUGGUUUCACCGUUACGAGCACUCGUGCUUAAAGGUGACUGGCGGGUGUCUGUCUCUCUCACUUUAGCUGAAUCGAGUGUGGCUAUGCCCGGUCCUUGCGAAGGUUAAAACAACACUAACUUGACAAACUAUCAUUGUGGUUUUGAUGCGUAGGUAAGAACGGUUCUUGCUAAGCCCGUAGCAGCCACGUAAAACUUGCAACAACAAAGUAGAGGACGUCUAACUUGUUUUUGCAGGGCAUGUUGUGAUGUGAUAUGGUCAAGACGUGAUGCUAUAUUUUAUUGUAUGAGAUGAUCAUGUUUUGUAACCGAAGUUAUCGGCAACUGGCAGGAGCCAUAUGGUUGUCGCUUUAUUGUAUGAAAUGCAAAUGCCCUGUAAUUGCUUUACUUUAUCACUAAGCGGUAGCGAUAGUCAUAGAAGCAAUAGAUGGCGUAAACGACAACGAUGCUACAAUGAAGAUCAAGGUGUCGCGCCAGUGACGAUGGUGAUCACGACGGUGCUUCGGAGAUGGAGAUCACAAGCACAAGAUGAUGAUGGCCAUAUCAUAUCACUUAUAUUGAUUGCAUGUGAUGUUUAUCCUUUAUGCAUCUUAUCUUGCUUUGAUUGACGGUAGCAUUUUAAGAUGAUCUCUCACUAAAAUUAUCAAGAAGUGUUCUCCCUGAGUAUGCACCGUUGCCAAAGUUCGCCGUGCCCAGACACCACGUGAUGAUCGGGUGUGAUAAGCUCUACGUCCAUCUACAACGGGUGCAAGCCAGUUUUGCACACGCAGAAUACUCAGGUUAAACUUGACGAGCCUAGCAUAUGCAGAUAUGGCCUCGUAACACGGAGACCGAAAGGUCGAGCGUGAAUCAUAUAGUAGAUAUGAUCAACAUAGUGAUGUUCACCAUUGAAAACUACUCCAUCUCACGUGAUGAUCGGUUAUGGUUUAGUUGAUUUGGAUCACGUGAUCACUUAGAUGACUAGAGAGAUGUCUGUCUAAGUGGGAGUUCUUAAGUAAUAUGAUUAAUUGAACUUAAAUUUAUCAUGAACUUAGUACCUGAUAGUAUUUUGCUUAUCUAUGUUUGUUGUAGAUAGAUGGCUCGUGCUGUUGUUCCGUUGAAUUUUAAUGCGUUCCUUGAGAAAGCAAAGUUGAAAGAUGAUGGUAGCAAUUACACGGACUGGGUCCGUAACUUGAGGAUUAUCCUCAUUGCUGCACAGAAGAAUUACGUCCUGGAAGCACCGCUGGGUGCCAGGCCUGCUGCUGAUGCAACUGACGAAGUUAAGAACGUCUGGCAGAGCAAAGCUGAUGACUACUCUAUAGUUCAGUGUGCCAUACUUUACGUCUUAGAACUGGGUCUUCAACGACGUUUUGAAUGUCAUGAAGCAUAUGAGAUGUUCCAGGAGUUGAAGUUAAUAUUUCAAGCAAAUGCCCGGAUUGAGAGAUAUGAAGUCUCCAAUAAGUUCUACAGCUGUAAGAUGGAGGAGAAUAGUUCUGUUAGUGAGCAUGUACUCAAAAUGUCUGGGUAUAAUAAUCACUUGAUUCAACUGGGAGUUAAUCUUCCGGAUGAUAGCGUCAUUGACAGAAUUCUCCAAUCACUGCCACCAAGCUACAAGAGCUCUGUGAUGAACUAUAAUAUGCAAGGGAUGAACAAGACUAUUCCCGAGCUCUUCGCAAUGCUAAAAGCUGCGGAGGUAGAAAUCAAGAAGGAGCAUCAAGUGUUGAUGGUCAACAAGACCACUAGUUUCAAGAAAAAGGGCAAAGGGAAGAAGAAGGGGAACUUCAAGAAGAACAGGAAGCAAGUUGCUGCUCAAGAGAAGAAACCCAAGUCUGGACCUAAGCCUGAAACUGAGUGCUUCUACUGCAAGCAGACUGGUCAACUGGAAGCGGAACUGCCCCAAGUAUUUGGCGGAUAAGAAGGAUGGUAAAGUGAACAAAGGUAUAUGUGAUAUACAUGUUAUUGAUGUGUACCUAACUAGAGCUCGUAGUAGAACCUGGGUAUUUGAUACUGGUUCUGUUGCUAAUAUUUGCAACUCGAAACAGGGACUACGGAAUAAGCGAGCAUUGGCCAAGGACGAGGUGACGAUGCGCGUGGGAAACGGUUCCAAAGUCGAUGUGAUCGCGGUCGGCACGCUACCUCUACAUCUACCUUCGGGAUUAGUUUUAGACCUGAAUAAUUGUUAUUUGGUGCCAGCGUUGAGCAUGAACAUUAUAUCUGGAUCUUGUUUGAUGCGAGACGGUUAUUCAUUUAAAUCAGAGAAUAAUGGUUGUUCUAUUUAUAUGAGUAAUAUCUUUUAUGGUCAUGCACCCUUGAAGAGUGGUCUAUUUUUAUUAAAUCUCGAUAGUAGUGAUACACAUAUUCAUAGUGUUGAAACCAAAAGAUGCAGAGUUAAUAAUGAUAGUGCAACUUAUUUGUGGCACUGCCGUUUAGGUCAUAUCGGUGUAAAGCGCAUGAAGAAACUCCAUACUGAUGGAAUUUUGGAAUCACUUGAUUAUGAAUCACUUGGUACUUGCGAACCGUGCCUCAUGGGCAAGAUGACUAAAACACCGUUCUCCGGUACUAUGGAGAGAGCAACAAAUUUGUUGGAAAUCAUACAUACAGAUGUAUGCGGUCCGAUGAAUGUUGAAGCUCAUGGUGGAUAUCGUUAUUUUCUCACCUUCAUAGAUGAUUUAAGCAGAUAUGGGUAUAUCUACUUAAUGAAACACAAGUCUGAAACAUUUGAAAAGUUCAAAGAAUUUCAGAGUGAAGUGGAAAAACAUCGUAACAAGAAAAUAAAAUUCCUACGAUCUGAUCGUGGAGGAGGAUAUUUGAGUUACGAGUUUGGUUUACAUUUGAAACAAUGCGGAAUAGUUUCGCAGCUCACGCCACCCGGAACACCACAACGAAAUGGUGUGUCCGAACGUCGUAAUCGUACUUUACUAGAUAUGGUGCGAUCUAUGAUGUCUCUUACUGAUUUACCGCUAUCGUUCUGGGGUUAUGAUUUAGAGACGGCCGCAUUCACGUUAAAUAGGGCACCAUCAAAAUCCGUUGAGACGACGCCUUAUGAACUGUGGUUUGGCAAGAAACCAAAGUUGUCGUUUCUUAAAGUUUGGGGCUGCGAUGCUUAUGUGAAGAAACUUCAACCAGAUAAGCUCGAACCUAAAUCGGAGAAAUGUGUCUUCAUAGGAUACCCAAAAGAAACAGUUGGGUAUACCUUCUAUCACAGAUCCGAAGGCAAGACAUUCAUUGCUAAGAAUGGAUCCUUUCUAGAGAAGGAGUUUCUCUCGAAAGAAGUGAGUGGGAGGAAAGUAGAACUUGAUGAGGUAACUGUACCUGCUCCCUUAUUGGAAAGUAGUUCAUCACAUGAAUCGGUUCCUAUGACACCUACACCAAUUAGUGAGGAAGCUAAUGAUAUUGAUCAUGAAACUUCAGAUCAAGUUUCUACUGAACUUCGAAGGUCUACCAGAGUAAGAUUCGCACCAGAGUGGUACAGUAAUCCUAUUCUGGAAAUCAUGUUACUUGACCAUGACGAACCUACGAACUAUGAGGAAGCGAUGAUGAGCCCAGAUUCCGCAAAAUGGCUAGAGGCCAUGAAAUCUGAGAUGGGAUCCAUGUAUGAGAACAAAGUAUGGACUUUGGUUGACUUGCCCGAUGAUUGGCAGGCCAUUGAGAACAAAUGGAUCUUUAAGAAGAAGACUGACGCUGAUGGUAAUGUAACUGUCUAUAAAGCUCGACUUGUCGCAAAAGGUUUUCGACAAGUUCAAGGGGUUGACUAUGAUGAGACUUUCUCACCCGUAGCGAUGCUUAAGUCUGUCUGAAUCAUGUUAGCCAUUGCUGCAUUUCAUGAUUAUGAAAUCUGGCAAAUGGAUGUCAAAACUGCAUUCUUGAAUGGAUUUCUGGAAGAAGAGUUGUAUAUGAUGCAGCCAGAAGGUUUUGUUGAUCCAAAAGGUGCUAACAAAGUAUGCAAGCUCUAGCGAUCCAUUUAUGGACUGGUGCAAGCAUCUCGGAGUUGGAAUAAACGCUUUGAUAGUGUGAUCAAAGCAUAUGGUUUUAUACAGACUUUUGGAGAAGCCUGUAUUUACAAGAAAGUGAGUGGGAGCUCUGUAGCAUUUCUGAUAUUAUAUGUAGAUGACAUAUUAUUAAUUGGAAAUGAUAUAGAAUUUCUGGAUAGCAUAAAGGGAUACUUGAAUAAAAGUUUUUCAAUGAAAGAUCUAGGUGAAGCUGCUUACAUAUUGGGCAUCAAGAUCUAUAGAGAUAGAUCGAGACGCUUAAUAGGACUUUCACAAAGCACAUACCUUGAUAAAAUUUUGAAAAAGUUCAAAAUGGAUCAGGCAAAGAAAGGGUUCUUGCCCGUGCUUCAAGGUGUGAAGUUGAGUCAAACUCAAUGCCCGACCACAGCAGAAGAUAGAGAGAAAAUGAAAGAUGUUCCCAAUGUUUCAGCCAUAGGCUCUAUCAUGUAUGCAAUGCUGUGUACCAGACCUGACGUAUGCUUAGCAAUAAGUUUGGCAGGGAGGUACCAAAGUAAUCCAGGAGUGGAUCACUGGACAGCGGCCAAGAACAUCCUGAAAUACCUGAAAAGGACUAAGGAUAUGUUUCUCGUAUAUGGAGGUGACAAAGAGCUAGUCGUAAAUGGUUACGUCGAUGCAAGCUUUGACACUGAUCCGGACGAUUCUAAAUCGCAAACCGGAUACGUGUUUUUAUUAAACGGUGGAGCUGUAAGUUGGUGCAGUUCUAAACAAAGCGUCGUGGCGGGAUCUACAUGUGAAGCUGAGUACAUAGCUACUUCGGAAGCAGCAAAUGAAGGAGUCUGGAUGAAGGAGUUCAUUACUGAUCUAGGUGUAAUACCUAGUGCAUCGGGACCAAUGAAGAUCUUCUGUGACAAUACUGGUGCAAUUGCUUUGGCAAAGGAAUCCAGAUUUCACAAGAGGACCAAGCACAUUAAGAGACGCUUCAAUUCCAUCCGGGACCAUGUCCAAGUGGGAGACAUAGAAAUUUGCAAGAUACAUACGGAUCUGAAUGUUGCAGACCCAUUGACUAAGCCUCUCUCACGAGCAAAACAUGAUCAACACCAAGACUCCAUGGGUGUUAGAAUCAUUACUAUGUAAUCUAGAUUAUUGACUCUAGUGCAAGUGGGAGACUGAAGGAAAUAUGCCCUAGAGGCAAUAAUAAAGUUAUUAUUUAUUUCCUCAUAUCAUGAUAAAUGUUUAUUAUUCAUGCUAGAAUUGUAUUAACCGGAAACAUGAUACAUGUGUGAAUACAUAGACAAACAUAUAGUCACUAGUAUGCCUCUACUUGACUAGCUCAUUAAUCAAAGAUGGUUAUGUUUCCUAACCAUAGACAUGUGUUGUCAUUUGAUUAAUGGGAUCACAUCACUAGGAGAAUGAUGUGAUUGACAUGACCCAUUCCGUUAGCCUAGCACUUGAUCGUUUAGUAUAUUGCUAUUGCUUUCUUCAUGACUUAUACAUGUUCCUGUAACUAUGAGAUUAUGCAACUCCCGUUUACCGGAGGAACACUUUGGGUACUACCAAAUGUCACAACGUAACUGGGUGAUUAUAAAGGAGUACUACAGGUGUCUCCGAAGGUACAUGUUGAGUUGGUGUAUUUCGAGAUUAGGUUUUGUCACUCCGAUUGUCGGAGAGGUAUCUCUGGGCCCUCUCGGUAAUGCACAUCACUAUAAGCCUUGCAAGCAAUGUGAUCAAUGAGUUGGUUAUGGGAUGAUGCAUUAUGUAACGAGUAAAGAGACUUGCCGGUAAUGAGAUUGAACUAGGUAUUGGAUACCGACGAUCAAAUCUCGGGCAAGUAACAUACCGAUGACAAAGGGAACAACGUAUGUUGUUAUGCGGUUUGACCGAUAAAGAUCUUCGUAGAAUAUGUAGGAACCAAUAUGGGCAUCCAGGUUCCGUUAUUGGUUAUUGACCGAGAAUAGUUCUAGGUCAUGUCUACAUAGUUCUCGAACCCGUAGGGUCCGCACGCUUAACGUUAUGAUGAUAGUUUUAUUAUGAGUUUAUAAGUUUUGAUGUACCGAAGUUUGUUCGGAGUCCCGGAUGUGAUCACGGACAUGACGAGGAGUCUCGAAAUGGUCGAGACAUAAAGAUUGAUAUAUUGGACGACUAUAUUCGGACACCGGAAGUGUUCCGGACGUUGUCGGAGAAAACCGGAGUGCCGGAGGGUUACCGGAACCCCCCGGGGAGAGAUAAUGGGCCACAUGGGCCUUGGUGGAAAGAGAGAGGGGCGGCUAGGGUGGGCCGCACGCCCCCUCUCCCUCUGGUCCGAAUUGGACUAGGAGGGGGGGGCCUCUUUCCUUCCCCCCUCUUCCCCUUCCUUCCCCCUCCUAGUAGGAGUAGGAAAGGGGGAGUCCUACUCCUACUAGGAGGAGGACUCCUCCUUGGCGCACCCACAAGGGCCGGCUGGCCUCCCCCCUCCCUCCUUUAUAUACGGGGCAGGGGGCACCCCAGGACACACAAGUUGAUCUACGGAUCGUUCCUUAGCCGUGUGCGGUGCCCCCCUCCACCAUAUUCCACCUCGAUCAUAUUGUCGCGGAGUUUAGGCGAAGCCCUGCGCCGGUACAACAUCAUCAUCGUCACCACGCCAUCGUGCUGACGGAACUCAUCCCCGAAGCUUUGCUGGAUCGGAGCCCGGGGAUCAUCAUCGAGCUGAACGUGUGCUGAACUCGGAGGUGCCGUACGUUCGGUGCUUGGAUCGGUCGGAUCGUGAAGACGUACGACUACAUCAACCGUGUUGUCAUAACGCUUCCGCUUACGGUCUACGAGGGUACGUGGACAACACUCUCCCCUCUCGUUGCUAUGUCAUCACCAUGAUCUUGCGUGUACGUAGGAAUUUUUUUGAAAUUACUACGUUCCCCAACAUCUUGACGGCGGUCAACUUGCGGAUGGAGUUGACCAUCAUGUCGUCCAUGCGAGAGGCGAAGCCGGCGUCGGCGAAGGCUACGAUGCCUGCGGUCGCCAGCACCAUCUGGAAACACUGCGCGGUGCGGGGCCGCAGGCCGGCGCCUUGGAUGAUUUGGCACAGCCGACUGCCGCUCGCGUCCAUCGCCUCCAUAGGUGCUUGUGGCUUUUGGUCACUUGGUCUUGGAUUGGAGUGAGCAGUGUUGCGCAGAGACUUGGGAGUAGAAGGAUUGGAGUGGUGGGGCGCCUUUAUUAUAUGAGAGUCCAAACUCUGUUGCAUUCACAUCGUGCUGGCUCUAGUCUGCUUCUCCAAUUAAUUCCCUCUGCAUUUAAUUGAGGAUGCAUCAUUGACCGUUCAACGUCUCAGGAACUGCUACCCUCUUCCUCCUUGGUAUUCUAGCACCUAUGGACCCGUCGACGACGAGGUGCCUAUGGUGACUUCGUAAAUUUCAAGAUGAUACUUAGUGUCGUGCGUGUGUGCGUUCAUAGGGGUGAGUGUAUGCGCGUGUAUAUGAGCGCUUGCGUCUGUACUGUGUCAAAAAAAACAACGUAAAUGCGUGUCAAAAAGAGACUAGUCAGUAUACUCAAUAUUGUGCACCUCAGAGAGGAAAACGAUAGAACUAGUACGUAUUUAUUUACGGGGCAGAUUCACUCAUUUUGCUCCAUAUGUACUCCAUCUCGGUGUAGUCUAGUCACUUGUUGAAAUCUCUAGAAGGGCAAAUACUCCUUUCUGGUUUACAGGGCUAUACUAGCAAGUAGUUGUACGUACUAAUACAAUAGUGGGCUCACAUAGCAAUUUUGUCUCAUGCAAGAGCCUGACUAUAUGUGUGCUCCAAUGUUCGCAACUGCAACGUUCGGUUUGCGCUUGGCUCUUCGCCUCUUCGAGAAGAUGAACAAUGAUGUUACUACUACUGCUUCUACAGUGUCGAAUCCACUGCUGCAUGUCCGUCCACCGCGAGCGGGACGGAUAGCUUGUUGUAGAAGUACUACUAAGCAAAAGCCUGUCCUCGUUUGCGAGCAAUAACGCGCAUGGGCGAGGGAGAAGGCGUGUAGUAAAAUCAAGCUUCUCCUCGUUCUACGAGUUGACGCGGAACAUCAUAGCACUGGCCCCACAUGCUUGCCUCUAAACUUGGCUGAAAGACCCGCAGUGUACAAUAUAUUUGCUGCAACCUCUAACAUUUACCCACCACAAAUUAAAAAAUAUGUGGCCGUAGGCAUCGUUCUGAUGCAGAGGCCGGGGAGUCCCCCCUUAAAAAAACAAAUUAAAAUAUAUAUAUUCCUGUCUUGACCAGAUGAGCGUGCAAACUACAAUCACCAAGGUGACAGGUAGGGCCAUAAGACUAUUUUAAUUUAAAAAAAACUUCGAGACGGCCACAUAGCAUGGAGCCGACCCCAACGAUUUUAAGCUUACAGGCACGGUACACACUAUCUAGACUACUCUACACAUGAAACUGCCAUGCGAGCAUCCGGGCUGCGCUUGGCUCUUCGCCUCUUUGGGAAGUCGAACAAUGAUGGUGUACUACUGCACUGGAGGAGUACUACAGUACGCUUCUGACCAUCUGACACCGAUUGAACUGCUGCAUGUCCACCGCGUGCGGGAGGGAGAGCAUGUAGAGAAAGCUUCUCCUAGUCUUGCCGGCCACCACGCUCAUGGGCGAGGGAGGGACGCUCCAGUCUUUGCGUGUAUGACAGGUGGGCCCGACAGGUGUGUGGCCAACCUGUCAUACAGCCAAAGGCAGGUGCAGUUAAGUCCGCAAGGGAGAGGAUAAUCAAACUUCUCGUUGAUGUACGAGUUGACGCGACGCAUCAAAGCACUGCACUCGAUAUAUUUCAAUAAUUUAGGGUUACCGAUGCAUUAAUUACAACGCAUGCAUGCAUCCCGUGACUCUCCUUUUGAUACUUGCAUGUGUUGAUUUAAUGCACCUUGAAGUAGUACCCCCUCCGAUUCCUUUUACUUUGCGUAUAACUUUUUCUUGUUUUUCUCAGAUUAGUCUUCGCGUCCGUGUUGGUUUCCAUCUAUGCCCCCGCUCGAUUAGUUCUGCCCCCAUUAAUCGCGCCAGUUUCCAAAGCAGAAAAUGGCUACAGGCAAACGCGUGCAGCACCGGAUGUGGCUUGACCACCUGGGGAAGCCAACUCAAGCGAAAAGGAAGGAGGACCAUCCAACCAUUGCAUGCGCAUUUACUAUCGAUAUUUAUGCAGCUUACUCAUGCGCAGGGGCAAAUUUGUCCAGAAAACUCAAACUACUGCCUUCCUUGGUAUGCGGGAGGACAGUUAUGCGCAGAGUAUAAAAUAUGUGACGGUAAAGCUUUGUAAUGCCCUGACCCAAGCGAGAGAUGGUUGUGCACGAGGAGGGCGAGAUCAUGUAGACGGAACAUGAACCGACAAGGGAGCUCACUAAGGUCUCGAUGGACCUCACCGUGCUCCACUGCCCCUUGUGCCUCCGCCCCUUGACGCCUCCAGUGUAUGAGGUUCGAAUACACCUCGUCCAUUCGGCUGAUUGAGCAAGGUGCAGGUUUCUUGAUUGAUGUGCUAUUUGAUUGAUUUCUGCAGUGCAAGGCAGGGCACCUGGCCUACGCGGACUGCCGCGUCGAGUGCCCCGGGAACCAGCGGCAGUGCCAGAAGUGUGAGCGCGGCGGUGUCUUCGACGUGCGGAACACGGCGGUGGACGCCGUCGUUUCGUCCUUGAGGGUGGAGUGCCCGCACGAAGGCUAUGGGCUCUACGUCACUUACCACAAGCUCAGCGAUCACCAGAGCGUGUGUCUGCUCGCGCCCUGCAAAUGCCCCGUGCCCGUCUGCGGCUAUGAAGGCCCGCCGCCGGCGCUCUACCACCACAUCAGCAACGCGCAUCCCAUGCCCGUGCACAGGAUCCAGUACGACAAGGUGCUCCAGCUACAAGUGCCACUGUUGGAGCCACGGCUCUUGCUGUUCGCGGAGGAGGACCGCUGCAUGUUUUUCUUGGUCGGUGGCGUGCUCGACAUCAGCACGCCUAUCGCCGUGUCGGUCGUCUGCAUCAGAGCGGGGGCGUCCCUACUGCCACACUACCGGGCUAAGCUGUGGGCGAACGACCUGCCGGGGGAGCCCAAAGGCACGACCAACACCGUCGGGGUGGAAAUGAAGGUGACAAGCGGCAAGAAUCCCGACGACGUCGACGUGUAGGAGCUGACCUUCUUGAUAGUUCCGCCCAAGCUGCUGGCCGGGGCUAAGCUUGUGUCCCUCCACAUUCAGAUUGACAAGCUCACGUCCUAAAUGUUUUGAUAGUGCCUUCUGUUUAUCUUAGUAAUAUGCUAAGAUAGGGAUUACCUUGGUCUACUUUAGCUUAAGAAAUGGUGGGUUUUGGUGGCGAUGCAGCAAUUACUUCGACAUCAGAUCAGUAAUUUCCAACAGUCUCUGUUGGAUAUAAAGUUCCUUUGGGUAAGAAGUACUACUUGUCAUCAAAAUGGAUAAAAGGAUAUGUAUGUAGACGUAUUUUAGUUCUAGAUACGUCCCUUUUUAUCCAUUUUAAUGACAAGCACUCCCUCCGUUCCACAAUACAUGCCUUCCAUUUGUCAAAAUAUAGAUGUAUCUAGACAUGUUUUAGUAUUUAGGUACAUCCAUGAUAGAGCCAAUCGGAUGGUUGAGAACACUACAAUUCAUAGCUACAGAUGCGUGUGUGACUCCCAGAUGCAGAGGCCGGGGGUCAUCAUCCUCCUUUUCGAGAAAAAACAGACGCGUGUGUGAGAGUACGAGUACGUGCGUGCACCUCUUCUCUUCCUGUAUAACAUACUACUAAACUCAGAGUACAAGUUUUUGUGGGUGGCACGAUGGUGCGUGCGAGAAGUCCCGAGAGAUAGGUUUAAUGCGUCUGAAAAAAGGACUAGCCUAGAGCUCGCCACGCGGGUAUUUAUAAAUUUUGAGCUUGCGUCUCGUCACAUUCCAAAUUACUCCAUGCUAUAUUGCAGACCUGUUCACACCGAUCACAACCUAAAUGGUUUCCCACUUAGGAGUGUAUUAGUACCACGCUAUAUUGAAUUCCAAACCUGUUCACAGCCAUCACAACCUAAACGGUUUCCCACUUAGGAGCGUAUUAGUACUCGGUUAUAAAUACUAGUAUGCGAAGAUGACUGCACAUUCCUCCUCAACUCCUCAUCCACAAAAACAAACAAGUCAUUCAGCAUCCUUCCCUUGCGUCUGCCAUGGCCAGCGUGAGUUCUGGGUCGGGGGAUUGCCAGCAGGAAGAGGCGAGCAUGGAAGCGGAAUCACGAGAGAUGUCCCGCCUCGCUACGAGAGCAGCCAACAUGUCCCACCGCACGGAAGUAGCAGCACAGAGGUCCCGCCGCGCUGCUGAAGCAGCACGGAGGUCCCGCCGCACCGUCGAUGCAGAAGACUGGUCUGGCCACGCCGCGGAAGCAGUAGAGAUGUCCCGCCGCGCCACGAAUGUAGCAGAGAUGUCCCGCCGCGCCACGGCGGCCUGGGAAAAUUUCUCGCGGGCAGGCGACGACUAUUACAGGAGCAUGCAUGCGAUCGUCCAUAGCUAGAUGGAUCAGAUCUCCGGCUUGGCGAGGUUGCAGGACGACGUGAAAGCCUCGUUUGAAUAGGCUACCGGCGUCAUCUGGCAACUAAGGGAGGGCAAUGAGAGGCUCCGGGCCAAGCGCGACCUGUUGAGGGAGAAGAUCGUCCGAAGUGCAGACCAGCAGGCGGAGACCAGUGCCUUGUUGAAGAGGACCGACGUCAUCGUCAAGAAACUUAUGGACGAGAAUGACAUGCUCCACAACGAGCGCCAAAGGUUGGUGGAGGAAUCUGUGGAUGUUCUCAAGCAGCGUCUUGAGGACACGAAAGAGCUCAUCGCCGCUCGCCACGGAGACUAGUUCCCGCGGCCUGCAGCAACGCAUCAAGAAAGUAGAGAUCAGCGAGCCAGAUCCUUGUCUUCCUUCUUGUUUUGCCCUUGUGUAUUUCGGGCGUAGCCGCAUGUGGCUUUUUUAAUUAUCUUUCUAAUUAUGUAAGACAAUUAAUCGUCCUUAUCUUUCUGUGGAAGAUUAAUGUUGCGAGGCUGGAAUGAAGAAAACUCUUGCUGUGGUGACCCUGGCGUUGCUGUUCUUCUAGUUGUUGCUGGGCUUCCUUCAGUUUCCUGGUUUCUUUUGAUGUAAUAAUCGGUUUAGGAUGUGGAUUGUGUCGUCGGUUGUGAAAUUUUGGGUUCUAGCGCGGAUGUUUGGCCUUUGUUGGCCUCUUGGGAUGUUGCGAUUUCAAUCUGGUACUCCCUCCGUCUCAUAAUGUAAGACGUUUUUUGACACUAUACUAGUGUCAAAAAGCGUCUUAUAUUAUGGGACGGAGGGAGUAGCUUUUAUUCCUUCGUGUUAGGCUGGAGUUGUGCUGAACUUCUUGUGAAUUGUGGUGGUUUUCAGUAAUGAAAAUCGAAAGGGGCAAGCCCUUCUUUGAUCAAAAAAAUCGUCCUUAUAUAUUCAUCAGUCUUGCUAUAAGUCGCAGUAGAUGCUAUAUAGGUCCGUCGGAUCUUACAUCAAGAUCCGUGCUUUUAGAUUUUCCUUUUUCUCUCUUAAAUCUCAGUCGAGUGAGACAUAGCCACGCCAUUAAACAGAGGCUCGGGCACCAUUAAUGGAGACCUUGGGAGAGAGGUGGACGGCAGACGGAGGUCAAAGGGCUCUCCUCCCGAUAAGCACGCGUAGGGGUCUGAUCGCACGCCUCUCGUACUCAAAUAGCUAUCCCACACGGCGCCUCCUAGCUAAUAAAAAAUGGGGACGCGUGGCGGCACGUAAAUGGUACUAGUAAGUAGAACGCCCACGGUUUCAAUAAUACUUGUGUUUCCGAUUGUAACAUGACAACACUUGUUCCAAAAUGAUUUUGUUGAUUGUUAAUGUGUGCGCCUUCACAAAUCGGACUGCAAAUUUACCACAGCAUGUUGGUGCCAUGUCAUGGCACCAAGCCAAGUUUCAUUAUUUUCAUGCGUGUUUUGGAUUUACAGGAAUUAAAAAACUAAGUUUCUCAGUGUUUCCAACCCAGCCACGAUGCCCAGAAUUUUGAAUUUCAUUCCCAUUUCUUGCAUGGAACCUAGAAAUUUACCCGAGGACACACAUGUGAUUUUUCAACCAACUUUGGUGCACUGGAACAUGUGCUUGUAUUUCAAAUUUGAAUUAUGCACACAAAGGUGACACGUUCCCUCCCAGAACCACGAGCCUUCUUGGGAGAAGCUUUGAUUUGCAAGAGGCUUAUACCAAAAUUUGUUCCUAUUCGACUAAUUUUUUUUACCACGGAAUGGUACUACCAUGACAUGACACCAUGCCAAGUUUCAUGAUUUUAAAACCAAGUUUCUCAAUGUUCUCGACCGAGCCACGAUGCCCAGAUGUUUGAAUCUUAUUCUCAUUUUUUGCAUGGGAGUAGAAAUUCACCCGAGGACACAAAUGUGAUUUUUCAACCAACUUUGGUGCACGGGAGCACGUGCUUGUAGUUCAAAUUUGAAUUAUGCACAUUAAAUGACCAAAAACUCAAUUAAUGUGUAAAUAUGGCCAAACGAAGCCGGAAUAAUUCCAAAAUUUAACACGGCACUCAUGUAGUUCUAUGUUGCCUUUGUAAAUAAACUCAUGGGGGACAACAUAUAUCGUUUCGCACUCAAAGGGACAUGUUCCCUCUCAGAACCACGAGCCUUCUCGAGAGAAGCUUCGGUUUGCAAGAAGCUUAUACCAAAAUCUGUUCCUAUUCAGCCAUUUUUUACCACAACAUGGUAGUACCAUGUCAUGACAUCCAUGCCAAGUUUCAUGAUUUUCAGCCGUGUUUUGGAUUUACAAGAAUUUUAAAACCAAGUUUCUGAAUGUUCUCGACCGAGCCACGAUGCCCAGAUGUUUUAAUUUUAUUCUCAUUUCUUGCAUGGGACCUCAAAAUUCACCCGAGGACACAAAUGUGAUUUUUCAACCAACUUUGGUGCACGAGAGCAUGUGCUUGUAGUUCAAAUUUGACUUAUGCACAUUAAAUGACCAAAGGUGACACGUUCCCUCUUAGAACCACGAGCUUCCAAAUCGGCCCAAUUUUUUACCACAACAUGUUAGUGCCAUGACAUGACACCAUGCCAAGUUUCAUGAUUUCCAGCCGAGUUUUGGAUUUACAUGAAUUUAAAAUCUAAGUUUCUCGAUGUUCUUGGCAGAGUCAUGACGCCCAGACGUUUGAAUUUCAUUCUCAUUUCUUCCAUGGGACCAAGAAAUUCAACCAAGGACACACAUGUGAUUUUUCAACCCACUUUGGUGCACCGGAGCAUGUGCAUGCAAUUCAUAUUUAGAUUAUGCACAUUAAAAGUCCAAAAACUUAAUUAAUCUAUAAAAAGGCCAAAUGAACCCGAAAUAAUUUCAAAAUUUAACAUGGCACUCAUAUAGUUCUAUGUUGCCUCUGUAAAUAAAAUCAGGGGGGAGGCAGCGUAUAUCGUUUCGCACACAAAGGUGACACAUCCCCUCUCGGAACCACGCGGCUUGUUGAGAGAAUCUCCGGUUUUGCAAGAGGCUUAUACCAAAACUUGUCCCAAUUCAGCCAAAAAUUAUACGUAUGAAAACAGGGUUUAGAUUAUCCCGAACAUCUCGCUACCUAGACCAAUAAUGUACUAUGAUUUGAAUUCAACAUAAAAUGGAUACAGAUAUUUGAAUUGGAGAGCAUAUGGUACAUGUAGUUCAUAGUGAAAUAUGAUUACUGCUAUAUGCAUGUCUUUUAGUUAUCAAGAUAAUAUUUAAAUUAUUGUAUAACUUGACAACAAUCAUAUUCAAAUAAGGAAAAUUGAUUCAAAUUUAGUCCAUAUGGUAGACGACAAUAUAUAUGUUCACAUGGUGGAGUAAAAUGUUCAUAUAUGAUGGAAGAUCAAAAUGUACGACUACAUCAAUUAUAAACCGCAAGGUCACCUAAUGAUAUAUUCGAAUUCAACAUAACGUGGAUUCGAAAAUUGAAAUUCGAUAUCAUGGCAUCUGUAAUCAUAUAAAAAGGGACAUUACUCUUUCUUUGGUGGGAAUUGUUUUGUUUUUUGUUGUUGUUGAGGGAAGUGCGAAUCGAUUUGGUACUGUGCAGGGUAAUCUUGUUCUCCCGAUUUUUUUACAUUUUUCUUGUAGUUUUUUCAAUGGCAUCUAUAGCAAUAUAGUAAAAGGGGACAUGACUCUCUUGUGUCUUGUAUGAUUUUUUUACACGUUAAGUUUGUUCUGCCGAACAAGGAAUCCGCACCUUGUUAUCCCGAAAUUUUCAAGCUGAAGUAUCUUUUGUCUCACCUGCUUUGAAACUCCUGCUUCUUCAACCCGCUCCACGCCUUGUUAUCUCGAAAUUUGGACGCGCGCGAGAACUCCCUCCUCAUCCGAAAUCGCUCCCGCAGCCCAGACACGAGAAAUCCCCCUUCUACCCCUCAGCCGGAAAUGAAGCUCCAUGUCGCGGUGUCAAAACUGGUGGGGGUACGCUGGUAACUUACCCUACAUUUCGGACAAGCGCGUCCCUAAGCUUGGCUCCCCCCUCCCCCUUCGCCCCCCUUCGUACACCGAGGCCGCCAAAACCGCCAAAACCCGCGAAACCCCACGCUCCUCCAUCGGCCUCGCGACCGCCGCCCAGCCGGUGACUCUUCUAUGACUACGUCGUCCACUGCAACAGCUCGCCGUCCCUCAUCCACCGCACCGGAUGAGUAUCCGUUGUCGAUCUCAUCGUCCCACCGGAUCAGCCGCCCCGUCCUCCACCUCCAAGGAGUUGCCCCGAUGUUCGCCACCUCUAUCGCGCCACCUCAAUCCCCACAGUGCCGUCUUGACCUGCCCCACCGGAACCACAACACCCUCACCAAUUCCUCCGAUGAAGCCGAGGCCAACUCGGUGCCACCAAGGAGGUUCUGCACUCACUGCUGCAUUUUAUCUUUUAUUCGAUCUCACGGGGCUGCCAGUGCUCGAUACCGAGCAGACAUGGCGUCUCCAUCGAUGGCGUCGUCGCCGGCCACAUCAUCCACGGUGUCUCUCCCCCAUGUCGUUGCUUCCUCGGUGGCGACUUCCACAACGGCACUAGCUGCAGCUGCUCCGGCUCUCGCUCGCGCUGCGGUUCUGUUCUUGCUAACAGUCGCGCUGCUGCACUGCUCCUGCUUUCGUUCGUGCUGCUGCUCUGCUCUUGCUCUCGCUUGCGCUGCUGCUGCUGCACGACCUCCGGCAGCUACAGGAGUUGCUUCUUUAGCACUCGCUCGCGGUGCUACUGCACGACUUGCUCUCUGCUAGUGCGUUUCCUGCUCGAGCGUCUGCUGAUUUAGAUCACUGCUUCUCUGCUACUAGUGCUCGAACGCCCUAAACAUCUAUUGCAAUGCUCUGUUACUAGUUCAAUCAGUUUCGACAGUAAAAUUCAGUUUCGACUGUGAAGUUCAUUUUCUUCAGUUAAGUUCAGAGUGAACAGUACUUACAACAUCUGUCGGAGCGGCUGUGGCGCGGCUGAUGCGCUUUACAUCUAGCACUUUUUGGUGAUGUAUUUUACAUCAUCUAUUGCAGAUUAUAUUAGGGUCCCACUUUAGAUUAAAGUUGUCUAUCUUGUCAUGCUUCAGCCUCGUCGCCGUACACCUUAGCGGAGCUGCUCGAACAACGGAACCGUCCAUCACAGCGGAGCAGUACCCUCGGCGCCGUUUCCAGAGGCCUCGGAUCUUCUUCCCCGCCUCCGACAGUCACACCAGCAUCAUCACCAUCCUCCACGUCCAACCCAAUGAUGCUGAGGUCCACAAGGCUAUGCCAAAGAGGUUGUACAGUCAUCACAUCACUUUGUUUCUCCAUUCCUCUGUUCUUCCAAUUCAUGUGAGCCAAACACCCAGGUUGACUGAAAUCCUAUGUUUCCAAAUGCUCUGUUUUGCACGUGCAUUCCUAUCCUAUUCCUGUGUUUUUCCUGUCCCUGCGUUUAUAGAAUCCUCCAAUUCUAAGGAGCGCUUACAGAUUUACUUCAUUUUCAGAUUGGCGUCAAAGAAAACUAUGUGUGUUAUGUCCUGCUCCUGCCGUGCCGUCAUCCACCCCACCUGAGGUGCACCAUCGACAGAAGUGUUCACUGCAGCAGAGAUCCCCCCUGCAGACUUUCUUUCACCGCCUCAGAUCAUCUUCCCCGUUGCCGGCAGCCACGCCAACUGCAUUACCAUCAUCGACUGAGCAGAUGAACCUGAGGACUACACAGCUCCGGAAGAGAGGUCGCAGUCUUUCGUGUUUGCUUACGUUAUACAUCGGUUAUUAUUACCUGCUACAUUAUCGUUCAAUCUUGAGUUUUGAAUUGCCCAUGGGUCUCAUAUGGAGCCAGCAACAAAUAGUAUCCGUCUACUAUCUGGUUCAUCUGGGGUCUUCUAUGUGGUUCAUGUUGGGUGGGCAACAAACAAUAGAUGAUCCAUUGUCUAUCUUUUUAAACUGAAGCUAUAAUCUACCUGCUAUCAUUAGUUUUGGAUCCAUCCACUCGUUUGCUACCAUCAGUCUUGAUUUUUGCAUGCACCCCUUAGGCCUUACAAAAUCUAACUAUUUUUUUAUUAUGCAUGUCAGAUAUUGUACACAAUCGUACUGAACAUGUAGAGAAAAAGAGAAGACCGUUGCGUGCGAAUAUAAUGUCAUGCAGACGCUGCUCCAUGGUGGGUGAAGUGCCCCCCCCCCUCUCCUGCAUUUCCAGAUUGUAUUCCAGAGGAAGAUAACUGUUUAGAUGGAGAUUCAGAAGGAGCCGGCCAUGCCUGCUUACCACCUGAGGUGUUUGGUCUAACCUGGCAUGCUGAUGUUGGUCAUAUCAUGCAUAUGGCGCCUUGCAUUGCUUACAUUAUACAUCUUAUAUGUCAUCAACUUAGUUUAGAUUUGCUUUGUGUGAAUGCCACCUAUUUGGUUUCUAUAUCAUACUCCCACCAUUCCUAAAUAUUUGUCUUUUUAGAGAUUUCAACAAGUGACUACAUACGGAACAAAAUGAGUGAAUCUACACUCUAAAAUAUGUCUAUAUACAUCCGUAUGUGGUAGUCCAUUUGAAAUCUCUAAAAAGACAAAUAUUUAGGAACGGAGGGAGAAUAUGGGAAUUAUGCAAUGCCAUCUUCUUUAGCCAGGCAUCAUAUACGUGAAUCAUGCAAUGCCAUCCUGUUUAGCCAGUCAUCGUAUAUGUGAAUUGUAUCGUGCCGUAUUUUUUUCCCAUAAUGUAUUCCAUUUGUCAACAAUGUUUAUACAUUCAUCCACUCUUCCUGUGCAUCAGCCAUUUGAGUCGGUCAUGGGAAAAUCUGGAGUGAAAACAAGGUCUUCUGAGCAGUCAGUGCUACCUGUCGAUGCAGAUUUCUUGCUGGUUACAGAUAGCUCCUCAGAGGAGGAUUCAGAGAGAGAUGACCAGUCGUAUCCCCCCCCCCCCCGAGGUGCAUGCUCUAACUUGGCUGGGUUAUAUUUCUCAUAUCAUGCAUAUGGUGUCUUGCAUUGACAUGCCAUCUGCUUAGAUUAGACAUGCUUUGUGUGAAUGCCUCCUGUUUGCUUUCUAUAUCAGAUAUGUGGAUUAUGCAAUGCCAUGUUUUCCAGCCAGUUAUCAUAUAUGUGAAUUAUGCACCGCCAUGGAGCCAGACAUCAUAUAUGUGAAUUAUCUCAUGCCAUCUUUUUUUUCAUUACGUAUUCCAUUUAUCGACAAUCUGUGUAUAUUGAACUACUCUUCAUGUGUAUCAUCCAUUUGAGUCGGUUAUGGAAAAAUCUGGAGCGAAAACAAGGUCUUCAGAGCAGGCAAUGGUACCUGUUGAAGCAUAUAUCUUGAUGGUUACAGGGAGCUCCUCUGAGGAGGAUUCAGAGACAGAUGACCAGUCCUAUAUCCCACCUGAGGUGUAUGCUCUAAGUUGCAAUGUUUAUAUUUCUCAUAUGAUGCAUAUGGUGUCUUGCAUUGAUUAGUUUAGACAUCAUAUGCACAAUAUUGAAUUCUAUCUGCUUAGUUUAGAGAUCAUACAUGCGAGUGCCAGCUGCUUAGUAUAUGAAUCAAUUAUGUAAAUUAUAUCAUGCCAUCCUGUAUACUUAGACAACAUGUAUGUGAAUUAUUUCAUUACAACCUAUUUUAGAAAGACAUCAUAUAGUUUUGUCAUGUCAUCCUGUUUAGGUACUCAUCAUAUGUUGAAUUAUGCCAUUAUAUCCUAUUAACUUAUCCAUCAUAUAUCUGAAACUGUGUCAUGCUAUCCUGUUUAGUUACGCAUCAUAUAUGUAAAAUUGUGUCAUGCUGUCCUGUUUGGUUAGACAACAUAUAUGUGAAUUACCACAUCUGUCUAUCAUACAAUAUCUGUACGUUCAAUUUCUUUUCUUGUUUAUUAGCCAUUUGAAUUGGAGGGGGUGAUGGCAGUAUCUAAGGGAGCAAAAACCCGUUCUUCACAAAAGACAGUGCUACCCGUCGAUGCAGAUAGAACCAUGGUUGUACUGGCCCACAAACUAGCCCCACCACACAUAAUCAAGACUCUUCCAGAUUGCACACUUACACCGUUGGGCAGAGAACCAGCUACAACCCAUCUAACCGCAACCCCAGUGGAUAGUAACCCACUUAUAGUUGACAAUGCACCAUGUCCACCACAGAGUACCCCCACACGAGCAGUUUGUAAAGCUACUGCAGUGCCAAAAAGCAUGAAGACCACCACAGCUAACCCAAACUCCACGUUUAAAGCAGAAGAGCAACUGUUCUCAGGUCAGAUUCCGUAGCUAUGGCCCAUACUCCUUUGUUGUUGCAUCACUGUAUUUACUCAUACCAACUACUUUCGAAUUUGAAGGAUCCAAUUGAAACUCCAAUGGCGCAACAGGUGUGUUUUAAACCUAUUUCUUUAACUGGAUUGCUGUUCUAACUUCUUGCUCUAUGUUGUUUUCAGUUUAAGUUGUAUAAACAAUUAUGUUCUCAUGUGAUGCACAUUCCAAGUGCUGCCAAUGCUGUGUAGUUUCUCACACUUAUAUUAUGUCUAUGCUGUUGUGUCUUAAAAAUAUAUGAGUUGAACUGUGUCUCCAUCUUGAUUAGGGAACAUAAACUAGAAUGAUAUGGAAAAUACAGUGACCAUAGUACAUAGAUAUAUGUUUGUUUCAUGCUGUUAUCCUGUCCACCUUACUACUGAACCGGUUUACCAAAAUGAGUUUGGUAUACUACAAGCUAAACAUGUGAUGUGUCUGCUUGUUUCUCUUGUAGUAUGCAAAUAGAAUACUGGAGAAGAGCACCCCACUAUGCAAUGGUAGAGAAAGUAAUGCAGAUAAGGUUCAAGAUAGUGAGACAACCCUAUUGGUCUCCAAGAAAGGUGAUAAAAACGAUAUUGUAGAUAGUGAGAAAACCCCACAGUCCUGCAUUGAUGUAGUGUUCGAGUUACUGGCCAGUACCGCUGGCACAAGCUCUUCGAACUCGCUGCCUGAAUCACUUGGGCUUCUAAAGUCUCAGCUACAAGCUGAAAGGCAUCAGUCAGCUGUGCUGCGGCAAGAAGCCGAAGGACUGAGGAAGUCCCUUCGGAAUUCAGGUGCGUACUUUCUUGUGCAAUAGCAAGCGCUGGAGGAUUUAAGCGCCAAACAAGAGAAAGUUAAUAAGCUUGCUAAGCAUCUUGUCAGCAUUAUGGGUACCUAGGAUAUUGUUUCUUGAACUCUUCUAAAGUGGUUUCAGUUCUGGACUUGUUUUGCUGCGGCGUUUAUAUGUUGUUGUGUUCCCUAUAUUUGCACUGGUGGUGAACUUUGAUGCCCAGUGGAUGUAAUAUGUGUAAUAGCCGUGAUAGCCUAGCAUAAGUUGCUUGCUUAUUUAUUUCCUUGUUGUCUUGUUUAUUUGUUUGCUUGUAGUCAAUGCACUUCUUUUUCCGCGGUUUGCUAGUGGCUGCAAUAACCUAUUUUUUAAAACUAGGCCACAAUAACCAUGGGCUAAUAUUUACUGUAGUGACACUGGGCCUCCUACGGGCCGUAGAAACAGUAGGCCUUCUACGGGCCAUAGAAACAGUAGGCCUUCUACGGGCUGUAGAACCAUUGGGCCUUCUACGGGCCGUAGAAGCAAUGUGCCUUCUACGGGCCGUAUCAUCAAUGGGCCUUAUAUGGGCCGUAUGAUCGAUUGGCCAAACAUGGGCCAAUAACAGGCCGCAUUAUGGCCGUAAACGGGCUAGAGUUGGAAUCGUCCGUUCAUGGGCCAACCAUAAUGGGCCAUCGUUAAUAGGCCGUAUUUCAUGACGCUAUGAAAACGGCCCAACGUGUUAACGGACCACAAACGGGCCGACUGUAACCACAGGCUGAAUUUGGCCCAUAAGCAGAAAAUAACAGUAACGGGCCAUAAGUAAACGAAUGCUGAAAAUGAGCCCAAGAAUAAAUGGGCUCUAAGUAGGUCGAAAGAUAACAUGGGCUGGAAACGGCCCAAUGGAAUAACGGGCCCUUAAUGGGUAUAAAGUGAUACACUGUUCAUUACGGGCCAGUUUCACCACGGGCCGUUAAUGGGUGUAAAGUAAUACAUUGUUCAUUACGGACCAGUUUCACCACGGGCCGUUAAUAGGCCAAGAGUUACAUAGGGCCUUAUAUGGGCCGAAAGACGUCAUGGGCCAUACAUGGGCCAGAAGUGAAAACGGGCUGGAAUCAUAUUGGGUGGCCCAGAUGACGCUACUGGGCCUAAUUCAGAUAGGGCGUAAUGGGCCUGGGGUUAGCGGGUUGUAAAUGGGCUAUAUGCGAACAGGCCGUUAACAGGCUUUACAUGGGCCGGCCCGCCACCUUUUGACCAAGUCAAACGGGCCGGCCUUUUCAUAGGAAUGGGCAUCUGUUGGGCUGUGCCACAUGUCGACGUAUCAUAGGCGCCUUCUGUCCAAUGAGUGGAUGACAUCUGUCCCAACGGUGAGCCGACACGUGUUUCCUCCAGCCAAUGAUGAUUUUACACGUGGAAAAUCCCCAUUGGUCGGGGCUGUUAACGGGUUAUCGGAUCCAAAACCCGACCCGAUAGCUUAACGGCGUUCCGUUACGGUGGAUGCCAUGUGUCGGUCACCCUUGACAAAAACACUUCUGUGACGCGCGAUUUAUCGUCAUGGAAGUGGACACUUUCGUGAUGAUAAUUUUGGUAAUAUCAUGGAACACUUCUACAACAACACAUGUAUGACUAUCUUGAUUCUGUCAUAAAUUCGUCAUGGAUGUACAUGCAUGACAAAAAAUGCGACCUACUGUGACAAACACGUAUCAUCACAGAAGUGUAUUUUUUUUGUAGUGCGGUAAGAUGACUAUGAUAUUCUCAUGGUUUAAGGAACUAAAUCACGUGUUAACACUCGGUGGUAUAACAAUUGACUUCUAAUGAUAUUAACGAUAUUAUCUCCAAUUAUAACAAGCAAGUUUGGGUCGAUUCAAUAUGAUCGUUCUUCUAACGUCAUAUCCUCAAAUUUGUUUUGAGACUAUCGUUACACUUAACGAUAUCUCAAGAUUGAGAAAACGUGAUCACAAAUAAAACUUGGGCUAGUCUUAUAGGUGAGACUAGGAGUCAAAUUUAACCGUUUAUCAUUCCACACAUGAAUAUAAGUUUUCCACUGAAUCGCAUAUUCCAGGAUCAUAACAGUUAUAGCAUAGAAUAUAAACUCUUAAUUAUAAACAUGAAAUUAUAAUAAUAAAAUAUUAUUGCCUCUAGGGCAUAUUUCCAACAAUUAUAAAUUUCCGAAAAUUUAACCCUGCAAAGGUGCUUUCAACUUCCCAUUAUAAGUCCUGCAUGUAUACCCUAUUCCUCCAAGUUUAGGGCCGAUGAGAACCAACACGUAAACACGAUAAAUUCCAGGAAUUCGGGAUUAACAAGUUCCUCUAGCGAAUGCCAAAUUAAUCCAGAAGACCUCCUGGUGGAUCGACAUUUGGAUCAGAGCCGAACGUAUCUUUAGACCCGAUCCCAGAUGGAUGGGCAAAGCUUUUGAUAGCCAAACCCCUAGUUUCCCCAUGGUGGCACCGACGGCUGCUCAUUGUGGACCAACGCUUUUCUUAGGUGGUGGCCCAAGUUGUUUAUUAAGAAACCUCGGAUUCAUGACUCUCUAUGCGAGUUUUAUGUUAGCAAAAUUUAGUAUCAAUAUUGGGCCUUCUAGAAGAGUUCAAUGCUAGAUAAAGGAGUUCAAGGGGGCCAUAAUAACCCUCACAUGGUAGGAUGCGCUCAUCAAGGAACAUAUAGCCAGAACAACGGAAACUAGGGUUGACCAGAGUGGAACAAAUUACCAAGGCAUAGGCCUGAGCCUUCCACCCUUAGUCAAGUAUAUAGUCAAGUUUAACAAAUUGGCAAUAUAAUAAUGAUAUCCCAAAUAUAUCCAUGUUAUCACAUUGAAAAACCUGCACGUGCAACUAACAACGCUACACGAGGGGCUGAGCAAGUGGUAGCAUAGCUAAUCAAAAGGUUUGCUAGAUAGUGGAGGUUAGAGGUUGUAUCGUGGCAAUUUGUAGGCUUAAAGGUAGCAAGACCAAACAAUAGUAUCAAGACAUCCAGCAAGCAAAGCUACUAAUGCUAUACAAGGUAAUGCUCAUUCUUACCUGUUAUCCCGCUAUGAAGAAGAUCCUUAAGCCAAACUUCGAAAGUGUUGUCUAACGAAUUCUCCCACUCCGCAUCGUCUUCGUACUCUAUUGAUAAGAAGCAAAUCCGGAAAGAGGCACAUGAUACGGUAAACAAACAUGUCAUGCAUAAAGCAAAUCAACAACAAACAUGGCAUGGCAAAGGCAAGUCAAGCAAGUACUACACACUAAGUGAAGCUUGAUAUGCAACUCGUUGCAUAUCGACGAAAGUCCACGUGUGAUUAUUAGGUUAGAUCCUAUUUAAUAUUAAAUGUUGUUUACACAGCAAAGAGGUGAAGCAUAAGUAAACUAUCCUCUCUAGUCCAUUUAAAUGAGGUAGGAAGCAAUAUAACACCUGAAAAGGCCUCAUAUGCAAUUAAUAAGUUAAUUACUGUUCUGCACUAAACAAUAUUUUUUAGUCGUUAAACAGGAAAAACAAGUGCACCACUGCAAUCUAUGCAUUUUACUGGUCCAAUUUCGGAGUUACGUUAAUUGGUUAUGAUUUGAAUCAAUUAGCAAGUUAUUUGAACAAUUUUAAUUCAAACAAGAAGUUGUUUUUUGGGGGAAAUAUACUACUGUCAUGUACGUGGGACCAAACCCACGUACGAACUGACAUCGGUGCCAUCAUGCAUUCAUGCUACAUUCCAUGACGGAACAUCCAUUCCAGCCGUUGCGGGAUGUCUCACUACCUUCGACGUCGUCGUCCAUGGUCUCGAGUUUGGGAACACUACGAAUUAAUGUUAGGGAAUUUGCAAGUGGGGAAAGACGAUUUUGCGAUUCGAGAAAGAAAGUAGUGUAACGGCAUUUUUCGAUAGUUAAUAACUACAAAGUCCUUUCUACAAAAUAACUUGUCCCCAGACCUCGCGUGACCGUUUUGCGCUAAAAACAUGUUAGGCCAACGCCCUAUGGAAGGAUAUGGCACGCUAGUGACCAAUGUUUGUUGAAAUAUAUUACCCACCUUUCUUUAUUAGUUUGGACUUUUGAAUGAAUUGGUCGGAGCAUAAAUUCAAUGUGAAAUCAGAACCAAGAGGUCUCAAGUUCAUGAGCCUGCCAACAAGUAUGGAAAAAGAUUAUGUGGCCUAUGUUGACCCCACAUCUAAGAUAGCCAAGGUGUGAGGAGGCAUGUCGAAAUAGAUUGCCCCUCUGUUCUUCAUCAGUUCAGUCUUUCGGAUGGGUUGGCUCGAGCCCGAAAUGCAGGUUUGAGGACCUGUUUUUUUGUUUGUUUUCAUAUAAGUGUGACUAAAAUGCAUCCACAUGAAGAGUUCUAUGAGUGGCACUGCCAGUGUCGUCUUACUACUAACAUUAACUUGUCCGAAUUAUAUAUGCUGCACGUCCCCAAUAUUGCUAUGUGGUUCAUCAAGCAAAGCAAGGCUGCAGUUGCAGGAAUUGCAGGAAGCUAGGAUCUGCUCCAACUCCAAGAACGCCUAUCCUACCUUCAUCAGUGUUGCGUAACAAGCAGGCCGGUGAGGCUGGCUCGGUUUAUUCCUGUUGGAGCCAGAGCGAGAUAUAGAGAGAGAGGGCGUGCAACAGCUCUUGUAUUCAUCAUCUGGUGUUACACUGGUUUAUAUAUGUACAGCUCAACUGACUCAACCGAUGCUAGGCUAAAAACUAGGCAUGCACAGAGGACACGAACACACGUUCGCUAACACCCCGCCGCAGUCGUGUCGUCGCUGCUUGGCAAGACACAAAGACUGGACCGGAAAGCCUGGAAGACCGAUGUUGGCAAACCCUUGGUCAUGAUAUCUGCGAGCUGUUGAGUCGUUGGUACAUGUACAAUGCGAAAAUCGCCGAGGGCCACCUUCUCUCUGACAAAAUGAAUGUCCAACUCGAUGUGUUUUGUCCGCCGAUGAUGAACGGGAUUGGUGGACAUAUACACGGCCGAGAUGUUGUCACAAAAGACGAUGGUAGCCUUCGGCGGUGAGCCACCGAGCUCAUGGAGAAGUUGCCGUAGCCAUACACAAUCGGCGACGGCGUUGGCGACGGCGCGGUAUUCUGCUUCCGCGCUGGAUCGUGACACGAUGGCCUGCCACUUCGAGGACCAGCUGACAAGCGUGUCACCAAGAUAAACGCAAUAGCCAGAGGUAGAGCGGCGGGUGUCGGGGCAGCCGGCCCAGUCGGCGUCGGAGUAAGCGAUGAUCUCAGUCGACCGAGAGAUCGGAAGUAGAAGACCGUGGGUGGAGGUGCCGCGAACAUAGCGUAGAAUGCGCUUGAUGAUGGCGAGAUGACUGUCCCGUGGAUCAUGCAUGUGCAAGCACGCCUGCUGGACCGCGUACGCCAGAUCAGGGCGUGUCAUAGUGAGGUAUUGCAGCCCGCCUGCGAGGCUGCGAUACUCCGAGGGAUCGUCCACGGAGCGGCCGACGUCGGCGGCAACCUUGGGCGACGUGUCAACCGGAGUGGAAGCGGGAUGGCACUGCGACAUGCCGGCGCGACGGAGAAGGUCCUCGGCGUAUUGGGUCUGGUUGAGGAAGAACCCACGCGAGGUGCGCUGCACGCGUAUGCCGAGGAAGUAGUGGAGAGCACCCAUGUCCGUCAUCGCGAACUCGUGCUGAAGCUGAUCGACAAUGGUGCGAAGCAAGACCGCCGAUGAGGCAGCAAGGACGAUGUCGUCGACGUACAGUAGAAGAUAGGCGGUGUCGCCGCCCCGCCGUAGUAUGAAUAGCGAGGCGUCGGAGCGCGAGGCGGUGAACCCAAUGGUGGCGGCGAAGGUGGCGAAGCGAUGAAACCAAGCCCGCGGAGCCUGCUUGAGGCCGUAUAGGGACUUCGAGAGGCGGCACACAUGAUCGCGGUGAGCCUCGUCGACGAAUCCAGCAGGUUGAUAGCAGUAGACCUGUUCGUCGAGGAGGCCGUGAAGGAAGGCGUUCUUCACGUCGAGCUGGUGCACCGGCCAGCCGCGUGAGCACGCCAGAGUGAGCACGGUGCGGAUCGUCGCUGGCUUUACCACCGGAGAGAAAGUCUCGCCGAAGUCGAUGCCCGGGCGUUGUGUGAAGCCGCGGACAACCCAACGAGCUUUGUACCGUUCGAGGGAUCCGUCGGCGUUCGUUUUGUGCCUGAAAACCCACUUGCCCGUGACAAUAUUAGUGUGAGGUGGGCGAGGGACAAGGGUCCACGUGGAGUUGGCGAGGAGAGCAUCGAAUUCGGAUUGCAUGGCAGAGCGCCAGUUCGGGUCGUUGAGAGCAGCUCGAACGGACGUGGGAAUUGGAGAGAUUGUGGUGGCAUGCAGAUUGGCGUAUUUUGGGUUCGGUUGGAAUAUUCCAUGGCGUGCACGCGUGAGCAUUGGGUGUGGAACAUGCGCAGGAGGCGGCUCUGGAGAGACGUGGUGCAUGGGAGUUGGUGGGGUAGGUGGGCCAGCGGGUGUAGAGUUGGGCCCGGGCAGGGACGUGGGGAAAGGAGUGGAGUGCGGAGUGGGAGGCGGGGAUUGCAUGGGUGGGCCAGGUGGCGAUCCAGGAGGGGUCGGGGUAGGCGGUGGCCAUGCAACGUCGACGUAGUCCGCGGGAGGUGGAUCACGAGCUGAUUCGGGCGAGUCUUCAGGAGAUUUUGGCAGCGUUUUAAAUGGAAAGAUAGACUCCACGAAAGUUACGUGCCUGGAGAAUAGGAUGCGCCGGGUAAUGGGGUCGUAACAACGAUAGCCUUUUCGCUCGUCCGGGUAACCAAGAAAAAUGCAAGCCGCUGAUCGAGGGGAGAGUUUGUGUGGGGCGGUAGCAAUGAGGUUGGGAUAACAGAGGCAUCCAAAAACACGGAGAUGACGAAAAUCGGGUGGGGUCCCGAAGAGAAGUUCGUAUGGUGUGGUGAGGAGAUUGGCUUUGCAGGGACGCCGAUUUAGGAGAUAGGUGGACGUGGCAAGGGCUUCGGCCCACCAACGAGGAGGCAUGGAGGCGUGUAGGAGGAGGGUCCGGACACCGUCGUUGAGGGUACGGAGUAUCCGUUCAGCCUUGCCGUUUUGUUGGGAAGUAUGGGGACAGGUGAGGCGGAAGAGCGUGCCGUGGGAGGCAAAGAGUGAGCGAUUUGCGAGAUUGUCGAAUUCACGCCCAUUGUCGGUCUGAAAGGCGAGGAUAGGACGGGAGAAUUGUGUUUGAGCGUAGGCAUAAAACUGAACAAGGAGACUAUGAACCUCAGAUUUGCGGCGUACGGGAAAGGUCCAGACAUAGUGUGUGAAAUCAUCUAGAAUGACCAAAUAAUAUUGAUAACCAGAUACACUUGAGAUCGGACUCGUCCAUAAGUCACAAUGACAAAGUUCAAAAGGAAAAGAAGUGUGAGAGGAAGAAGAACUAAAGGGAAGUCUAGUGUGUUUGCCUAGACGACAAGCCUCGCAGUGUGUCGUCGAGGUUUUAUUACAACUGAAAUCAAAAAAAGAAGAGGCUUUGGCAAGGGCGGCGGCUCUAGGAUGGCCGAGGCGCUGGUGCCACAAGUCGGCGGUGACGGCGGCGGUGAGGCAGUGGCUUGACGGGGCGAAGGUGUAGAGGUCGCCGGAGGAGUCACAUCGGAGAAGCACCGUCUUUGUGGCCAGAUCCUUGAUAGAAAAACCAUAGGGAUCAAAUUCAAUUGAAACUAAAUUGUCACGAGUGAAAGCACGAACGGAAACUAAGUUUUUGAUGAGGGAGGGAGAGAUGAGAAUUUCAAGAAGGGAGAGAGGUCGGGAGGGGGUACAGAAGGAAGUAGAGCCGACGCCGGUAAUGGGAAGAAGAGAACCAUUGCCGACGAUGAUAGAAGAAGGAGAGGAUGGGUUGGGUAGGGAGAAGGGAAUACCAGAACCGGAGCUCAUGUGGGACGAAGCGCCGCUGUCGAGGACCCAUUCGCCGCCAGGUGCAGAGGGCGGAUGCAGCGCCAUCUGAUUGAGGGCGGCGAUGAGAGCCGCCUGAUCCCAUUGUGGGGAAGGCGACGCCACCGUUGUGGCCUGGUGCGCUUGGGGCGGAGUCGGGGCAGGUGGCCGGGCACCAAGUAUCCCUUGGAAGGUGCCGGCGACAGUAGUAGGAGGACGCGGUCCAGGGAGAAGCCCAGCAGGAGCAACCCCGCCGGAAGAGGAGCCCCCAGGCCCCGCUGGGUUGGCCUUGCGCUUCUUUGGGCGGCCGCGUGCCCCGGAGGAGCCGGCCGAGCUGCCGGCGGCGUGGGGCAGAGGGCCGAGCAGGGCCGGGUUGAAGGAGGCCGGAGCGGGCGCCGGCGCCGGCGCCGGAGGUCGCGCCGCGUAGUAGGCGCUGGCCUGGGCGAUGAGUGCGGUGCGCGCGGCCACGCGCGCCUGGCGGCUGAGGCGCUGCUCCUCGAGCUGGAGGAAGGAGCGCAGCUUGAUGAAGGAGGGCCGACGUCCACUCGUCAUGUGGGGAACGGCGUGCUGGAAGCGCUCGUCGAGGCCGCGGAGGACGUUGUGGACGAGGUCGCGGUCCUUGAUGCGAUGGCCGAGGUCCCGAAGGGUGUCAGCCAUCUGCUUGAGCCGAGAAGUGUACUCAACGACGGAAAGAUCUCCUUGAAGAAAACUGUGAAAUUCAUCAAGGAGAUACGUGAUGCGCGCAUCGCGGUUGCUACGGAAGAGCGAGCGGAGCGAGCGCCAUAUGGUGUACGCUGAGUUCUUGCGCUCCUGGACGAUCUCCAAGGUUGAGGGCGUCACGGUGGCGCUAUACCACGAGAGGACGGCGAAGUCGUUGAGCGCCCAGUCGGAUGUAGCCUGCGCCGGCGAGCCGUCGACAUGAUCGGUGAGGCCGAACUUGGCGAGGGCGGAGAGAAACUGACGGCGCCAGAGGCCGUAGUUUUCUUUCUCGUAGUCGAGGGUGAUGAGAACGUGGUCCCGGAUGCGAAGGCUUUGGACCUGAAGAGUGGGCAGGGUUUGGGUGGCAACCGGGAGAUCAAACGGCUCGUCGGAGGAGGAGUCGCCGGUGGAAGAGUUGGAGGAGGAGGAGCUCAUGGCGUGGGAAGAGUGGGGCAGCGGAAGAAACGGAUCUCAGUUAAACUGAUACCAUGUUGGAGCCAGAGCGAGAUAUAGAGAGAGAGGGCGUGCAACAGCUCUUGUAUUCAUCAUCUGGUGUUACACUGGUUUAUAUAUGUACAGCUCAACUGACUCAACCGAUGCUAGGCUAAAAACUAGGCAUGCACAGAGGACACGAACACACGUUCGCUAACAAUUCCUACCUCACUUACGGGAGGAGGUCCGGGCUUUUGGGAUGGAGUCGGCUCUCUGGUGAAUGUUGGCCCAUGUACGCAUAAACGUCCAGAAUAUAAGUAGAGUGUGGGCUAAAUCAAGUCGGAUGCUGGUCCAUCGGCAUAUGUUCGGAUGUUUUCGGUGCACUAGCAUUCAGCAGAGAGCCUACUCCAUCCCAAUAGCCCGGAUCGAAAGGAGGAAGGAGUCUCUCCCUUAUAAGCUGGUCAUGGCCUCCUCCCGUAAGCAAGGUGGGACUAAACCGAGCCAGCCUCACCGGCCUACAGCAGCCCUAACAUGGGGAGACGGCAACGGUGCAGCGCUGGCCGGGAAGACCGAGCACGGGCCCUGGGGAGCGAGUAAAGGAAGGUGCAAACGGCUGCUGCGUGCGGCGCGCUUAGAAUUGGCAACAGCAAUGCCGUUAAGCUUACCAUGUUUACACCGACGUAGCCGUUGGUGUUGCCAUUUCCAGCGCUCCCUCCAUGCACGAUGCGUAUAUAAGCAUGAGCCCACAAGAUCUCCCCGAAAUCUUCCAGAGAUCCCACGAACUCGCACCAGGAUUUAGCACUAGAUCAUCAUGUCGACCACCGACGACGUGGAAAUGCAGGAAGAGGACCAGGAAGGCGUCGGCAAUAACCAGAGGAGGUGCGCGGCGUGCAAGUACCUGCGCCGGCGGUGCGCCCACGACUGCGUGCUCGCCCCCUACUUCCCGGCGUCGCACCCCCACCGCUACGCCUCCGUCCACCGGGUCUUCGGCGCCAGCAACGUCGCCAGGUUGCUCCAGGUACGUGACCUCUGGUAAUCGAUCAUUCCGGCCGCGCACGGUUCGACAUUUGAAUUGGGUUGCCACUUGCAGAGCUUGCCGGCGGAUGAGAGAGCUCAUGCGGCGGAGGCGAUGGCGAUGGAGGCGCAGUGGCGGGUGGAGGACCCGGUGUAUGGAUGCGCCGGGAUCAUCAGCCAGCUGCAGGAGGAGAUUCAGGCCACGCAGUGCGAGCUCGCCAGGACGCGGGCGCAGCUCGCCAUCGUCCCCGCGCACGGUGCGCAGCUGCAGGCUCUUCCGCCGCCGCCGCCGCCGCAGCCAGACGACGGCCACAGCGUCCCCGUCGCGCAGAGGCAGGGGCAGGGAGAGGCGGUGCCGUUGCUUGACCCGGACGAGUUCCUAGGUCUCGACGGGCUUUGAGCUCUGAUCGAUCAAGCGCGUACGUGCAUGCAAUGCACGCUGGGGAAAUGUCAGGGCGAUGAACCAGAAAGGAAAUGAGGCUGGGAUGAAUAGUUCCGUAUUUUAUACAGUGGCAGCUACCUCCGGUCCGGUGGCAAGGCCAUGUCUCUAUGCACACACAUCUCGGCCGUUGGUUCCAGGUAGAUCGAACGGCUCAUGUUGUCCAGAGGCAGACACACCAUCACCAGCCAAAAUGACAGUGCCAAAUAAUGGAUCUAUGCACGCUCUCUUCUACCACCAGCAGAGUGGGAGAAGAGAGCAAGAGGAAGGUGGGACGGAAGUUAACACUGGCAGGACACCAGGUUAACUUCAGCAAAACAAAUGCUUUUAGAACCAACAGACAUCUUCUUUAGCAUUUAGAACCGACUAGUAACGCACACGGCAAUCCACCUCAAGACAGACAUUAACCCACAAAACAAGCACUCCGAACAGUUCAGGAAUCACCGUUAUGGAACCCGAUUACAACCAACACGAAUCUUAAGUCGCGACUGGUCCACAAUGACAGACGAUGAAUACUUCUCAAGGCACCCUUUUCCGGGUUGGUUUUACUUGGUCUAACUCCAUGUAUGCAAGAGGCAUUCAUUUUAGAUCUACUUCCAAUAACUAUGCGGAUGUGCAGAGCAUGGAUCAUUACGCUUGCCAAUCCUUCCUUCCUCUCAG
RNAcentral lists this long non-coding RNA (83582 nucleotides) under Triticum aestivum (bread wheat). Its description in RNAcentral is "long non-coding RNA (TAES_LNC003840)". The stretch from base 64401 to 64487 matches the Rfam family "MIR1120/MIR1122 microRNA precursor family". Lineage: Eukaryota; Viridiplantae; Streptophyta; Magnoliopsida; Poales; Poaceae. The record is from RNAcentral.